CCCACCUCCCGAUCAAGCCAUCCAGCCGCCUCUCCUCGCCCUCCUGCCUGCGCGCAUCUCUCUAGAGCUUAAACUCUCCUAGAGAGAUCUCAGGCAGCCCCAAUAACCAACCGCUCGACCCAACUCGUCGUCGUCGUCGUCGCAGAUGGCCGGCCUCAGGAUGAAGCUCGUCGCCGCCGCCGCCGUGGCCGCCGCGCUCGUGGCGUCCGCCGCCGCCCAGGCCCCCGCGCCAGCGCCCACCUCCGACGCCUCGGCCGCGGUGCCCCUCGCGGCGGCGUCCUUCGCCGCCGCCGCCUUCGGCUACCUCUUCUGCUAGAUCCGUCGUCCGGGGAUGCCGUCGUGCUCCCUGGCCGGUCGGGCCUGCUGAUGAUGAUAUGAUUCGUUUUGGCGUGAGUCGAGUCCCCUGUUCGUGGCGCGUGUUGAGGGAUGUCGGUGGGCGUGUGUAUGUACGAGUCGGCGGCGGGUGGAGGUGUGCGCGCGUGUUGGAUACGUGCGUCGACGCGCCACUCUUUGUGGUGGAGAUCAUGUACCCGCUGCGCUUCUGUUUAUCAAUGAGAUGAUUUAUUUGAUUCUUUUCAUCUUAUAUACAAUAUACAUGAGAAUUGCGUAUUCAGUUUGUUGUGUUUUGCUCUGCAAACUUGCGAUGUGCAGAUUGUUGUAAAACACUGUCGAACGAUUCUCCCUCAAUCGAGUUCUUCCGUUGCAAAGAAAAAGAAAACGGUGCAUCUCUCUUAAAAAACGAUUACUAUUCUUACGACCUGAAAAUUAAGGGGUGCAGGCUACAGUUCAAACAUGUAAUUGGAAUCUGAAAUCGAUUUGACCGACUAAGGAACUCACCAUCUGAACUCUAAGCCCUUGUUUACUUCACCCCCAACUCCCAACUUUGGCACUAUGCAAAAAGAAGAUUCCCCAUCACAUCAAACUUGCGGUACAUGCAUGGAGUACUAAAUGUAGAUGAAAUUAAAAACUAAUUGCACAGUUGUUGUACUUUGCGAGAUGAAUCUUUUGAGCCUAAUUAGUCAAUGUUUGGACAAUAAUUCACAAAUACAAACGAAACGCUACAGUGUGCUACAGUGCUAGCACAGUAAUUUUACAUCUCCUAAUUUGACCAGCUAAACAAGGCCUAAGCAAAACGACCGGCAUAACGACUUUCAUUUAUGACCAACCAAUUCAGAAUUGACAAGCUUUAUUUUUCCUACCUCCCUCGAAAAGAAUGCUGUGGCACGGAGUCCUUGUGAAGUUCGUUAGGAGAUGCCGGGCCGGGGUUGCUUAAUCAGUUUGGUGAGGGAUCCGAACGUUGAAAUGAUUGAAGCAUGUUGGCGUCGCCACUUGCCAGCCAAGAAGCCAUGUGCUGCUCGUUAAGCACUGGUCCACAGAUGAGUUGUCUUGGUAGGGGCAGCCGUACCCGCUGUAUCACCGCUGGCAUGCUCCAAGCUGGAAAUGGUGAGCCGUCGCAAUCGCUGCAGUAUUACCCGACUAGUAUGUGCUUUAUGGAAUUGCAGGACUGCUUAAUUUUGACCGUGCUCGUGGAUUUAGAUGCUGGUCGAUGGCUCCAGCUCGAUGCCUUUUCCUACUGUACUGGCUACUGCCGACCGAGAGUCUCAGAGCGUGCAGAAUGCAGGUCGAGUUCCGCAAAGUUGUUGGCGUACACAGCUGGGGAUUGGGCCAGUGCCAGCUCUACACACCACUGGGCCACCUUUGUGUUUUCUCCGGCCUGCUUGAAAAUGUAUUGGGCCAGUUUGUUGGGCCGCUUACUUACAUCUGUGCUCAGCUAAAUCCAGCGAGAACAAUGGAAGAGUUUUUGGCUCUAUACAACAAAUCUUUUGGUUUUUUCCCCCCCUUUCUUUUUCAUCCACAUAAGACACCCACGAUGGCGUUUAUAUUUGUAAGAUAACUGAGUUGCAUUUUUAAGUGCCUCAUUUCUGGAUUAUCGGGCAGCUUCUGAAAGGAAGCUCCAAUUAUAGUAGACGAAGUAGAAGGUUUUUUUUUCGAUUCAAGACCUGGAACGUAGGUAGCUAGAGUCUACGCACUGCAGUUACAUACUGACAAAUUGCAAUGGCGAGUCGGCGACCGACAAGCAGAGGCCAGGCACAGCUGCGUCACAUGAACUCGCUCAUCAUGGCGAGCACCUGCGCCAUCGUGGGCCUCUCCUCCGGCGCCUCGGCGGUGCACAGCACGCCGAUCUUCACCAUCCCCAUCGUCUCCUCCCCUUCGCCGCCUUCCUCGCCGUCGGCGGCCUUGUGGUCCGUCACCACCUCCAGGAGCACCAUCCCGAAGCUGUACACGUCGGACUCCUGCGUCGCCCUCGCGCCCGCGCCCGACGCCAGCUCCGGCGCCGCGUACCCGUGCCACCCGACGCUCGCCGCUGGCGGGGCCGCCGACGACGUCGCGGUCGCCGCCCGGCCCAGGAACAGGUCCGGCGGGCACCGGGCGGCCUGCGGGACGACGGACUGCUGGAUGUUUGUGGCGUAGCGCAUGAGCCCGCACUCGGACACGCACGCGCCGCCGCGCUCGUCCAGGAGGAUGUUGGACGGCUUCACGUUCGCGUGCACAAGCGCCGGCCGCGCCGGGAACGUGUGGAUGUAGUUCAGGCCCUGCGCCGCGCCGAACAGUAUGCUCUUCCUCCCCGCCCAGUCCAGGCUCCUCGCGCCACCACCUGCAGCAACAACAACGGCCCGUCAGGAACACUCGCUUUCUUGCACCGACUGCAAAUUGGCAAUGCAUUUGGGAUUUCAUUAUCUCAUUUCAGCGCGACGACGCACCACUGGCUUGCAGAAGGGACUGGAGGCUCCCGUUGGGGAGGAAGUCGUAGACGAGGAGGCGCUCGCCGUUGGAGUUGCAGUACCCCCUGAGGCUGACGACGUGCCGGUGGCGGAGCCGGCCGACGAGCCGCAUGUGGCGGUCGAACGCCUUGCUCCGGCUGGCGGGGAACUGCAGCGCGCUCAGGCGCUUGACGGCCACCACGAUGCCGUCGUCGAGCACCGCCUUGUAGGUGCUCCCGGACACGCCCUUGCCGAGCACCUCGGCGGACGCCUUGAGGAGGCUCUCCAGCCGCAGCUCCUCGCCGCCCUCGAAGCAGACCAACCCGCCGCUCUUCUGGCACUUGUCGUCCCCGUUCGCCCUCUUCUCUUGCUCCUCGAAGGAGAGUGCCGCGUCGGAGGCGUCCUUCGCCGACCGGAGCUUCCUCCUCAUGUAGACGAACAUGGCCACGGAGAUGGCUAGCGAGACCGUGAUGAGCACUGCGUUGCCAAUGCCGGUGGCCAUGAGUGCAGUCAAGCUAAGCUUACUGAAACCUCCAUUGCUGGAACUGGAAGGCACACUACCACUAACGUUCACUGCAGCACCAGGAGAUUGAGCAGCGAUACUGGUGGUAGCAUUGGAAGAACUAUCCGAUCCUAACGCAUUAUAAGCACGAACACAUCUUGGCAGAGGCGUGCCACAGAGAGCGAGAUUGCCGCCGAAAGUCGACCUCGGGAACCUGGACAGAUCGCCGGAGAUCUCCCCAGCGAGCUUGUUCCCGGACACGUUCAAGCUCCUGAGCGACGGGGCGCGCAGCGCCUCCAGGCCUCCACGGAAGCCAUUGUGCUCCGCUCUAAGCGUGAGCAGAGCACCCAGCGAGAUGUUCAGGCUCCCGGUGAGCCGGUUGCGGGCGACGAGCAGGUGCCGCAGCCACGGGCUCGCCGUGGCGUCGUCCAGCGGGGGGAGGGCGCCGGACAGGGAGUUGUUCCUGACGGCGAGCGCCCUGAUAUGGCUGAGCCGCAGGAGCGGCGCCACCUCGCCGGCCAGCGAGGCGCCGUCGAGGAAGACCCCCACCACCCUGCCCCUGGAGCACCUGAUCCCGAACCACGUGCCGGAGCACGGGUUGGGGCCGUGCCAGGUCGCCAGGGCCGUGGCGUUCGGGUUGUAGGACUUGAAGGAGAGCAGCGCGGGCAGGUCCUGGUGGCCGCCAUUGCCGACCUCUCCGUGCACAGAAGGUACCGAUAGGUGGUAGACGAGGACGGCGAGGAGCAGGAAGGUGGAAUGGUGGAAACGAGGCAUUUUGGUAGCUGUAAGAAUUUUCUUCUGUGUUUGACCGAGAAAUCUAUCCACUCGUUUUAUAGCACGGGCCGGUAACAAUUCAGCGCGGGGAAGUAGAAAAUUUUGAAUGGCGCACGAGCACAAAGGCGUGGAACGACGACGAGCAGAGGGGUCCAAAGAGGAAAGCUGGGUACCUGCGCCGACGUCGUGGGUGGGUGUCGAUGCUGAGGUCGUGGGGAGGAGGGUGGAGGUGAAAAGCGGCGCCAUGGAGGACAGGAGGAGAGGUCCAAGGGGAUGGGGAGCUGACGAGGUGCCCUUUUUCCUCCCUUGGGCAGAAGGAACUUGGACGUAUCUGGUGGGCUGCACGUAGCCGUGAUGGUCGUCGCGCCGGGGAGAUGCUGGUGCUCGCUUCGCUUUACGGAAGCGGCCGAAAGGAAGCAAGAGGGCUCGGGGUUCCACGGCGCGUGGUGGAGUAUCGGGUUCACGAGACGAGACGGGAGUAGCGAGUGGGGACGUUGGCGUCAGGUGGCGCCACGCACCGGUAGGGGAGCAGACAGGAAUGGAUUCCAGCUUCACGUUGCACUAGUCCCCCAGAGUCACAGUGAACCCGGAACACUGAACUGGGUUCAGGUGUCGGGGCAUCUAUUGUUGGGUCCGUUCGUGCUGUGGGCCGAGCCAGGUCUUGCCACCCGAUCCAGCCCAGUAACCGGAGUAGCCAAGAUUUUGUUGGGGCGUCGGGUUCAAACUUCAAAUUGGCAGGUGGAGACGCUUCCAAACGGGUUCAUAGUGAGUCAUUGCUACUGGUACUACGGAGGACUAGGAAGGUUAAUUAUCAUUAUGAACAGUGUUAGUUAGCACCGUCGUCUGAAUGAAAGGUCAUGACAUGCUCGUGAAACCUCGAUUCUAAUGUAUGCGCGCAGUUUUUGGUAUAUCAACUCAGAACUCGACUGGUGGUGUGGUGAGCACAAAAAUGCAUCUUGUUUUUUUUUCCCACUAAGGGCUACGUCCAAAUUUCAUUACUGUUUAGGCAAUGAAAUUACAGAGUAUGAGAGUUGUCGACACCAUGGUCACACCAGAGAUUACAAAAGCAUCUCCAGGAGGACAGGUGCAGACGGCCUUUCCACCUGGGAGGAAUAAAGCGAGCCUACUUAUUACAUGACACAGAACUAACAGCAUGCUAAACAUCUCACAGCCAACCAAACUAGGAACAUUUCUCAACCAGCCUCCAAAGUUGCUUUGAGCAUCACACUGUAUCCAGACUUCCUGGCUUGAUUUGGGACAGCACUUCUUCUCUUUUUUACUGCAGCAGUACCAUCCCUGUGUCGUCGGUUGUUGCUUCACGGGGGUGAAAGUGCAACGCCGUCGCCUUCAUUGCAUCAGCGCCAGCCUCCAGGAUCGUCCUCCCCUCCGGCUUAUGAAGACCUGCUCAAUAUGAAAUGAAAACAGAUGCUGAACAUAUAAUCUCUGAAGGAGAUUUGACCUAUUUUUUAUCAAAGCAAGCAGCAUUUCUAGCUUUCCAGAGUGCCCAGCAGACCGCUGACAGCCCCACCACAUGGAUGUUUUUGUUUUGUGACAUAUACUAUCUAGUCCAUUCCCAAAAUUGGGCAAAGGUAGUUGGUCUACAUGGAGCACCAAUUACCAUGGCAAUAAGGCUCCAUACAUACCUAGCCAAGGCAUAUCCAAAGAAAAGGUGUUUCGAUGUUUUCUUCCAUAUGACAGAAACAACAGCUUUUGUCCCCCUGCCAGUUGCGUUUUAUAAGGUUGUCUUUAGUCAGAAUAGCAUCUUUUUGGAUUAACCACAUAAAGAUUUUUAUCUUCAAAGGGAUUUUGGCUUUCCAAAUAUUGUCAUGAGGACUGGGUAUAGACUACCGCCUCAUCAUCGACACAUCGAACAACGAUGGCAAGGAUGCCAAGUACGAGGCGGUGGUUCAUGAGAAAAACUGGGGAGACCAAAUCACUCUCUUGUCCUUUAAGCGAGCAGACUCUCAGCAACAAUUGGCAUGAGCAUGUUAAUCACUCUCUUGUCCUUUAAGGAUGCCAAUGAUUUGUAGUAGGGUUGCCACCUUGAUUAAUGCUUAUCACUACUUGCUCUACAACUAUUGCAUUUUGUGUUUACUCCAUUUAGCGUCCUUUCGUUACGCCUUGCUUAAUGCUUAUCACUACUUGCUCUACAACUGCUGCAUUUUGUGUUUACUCCAUUUAGCGUCCUUUUGUUAAUCGUUGAAAUGGCGUGGUAGCUGCUGCGUAAUGCGUAUCAUGUAAUUUGGCAUCUCCAAUAUAAAUGGGAUUUUCAGCCUAAAUAAAAUGUGAUUGGGAAAUUUGGCUUCCCACUUUUGUACAUGAUGCAAACGGUCAUAUACAUGCACACACAAUUACAAAUACACGCACGCUAGUUCGAUCUUCAAGUUUAAUAUAGUUUCAGCUGUUCAAACAUUGGAUUGAACAUGACCGAUCCAUUUGAAAGUAGAUUGCUUUCAAACACAAAACGUGGAUUGCGUUAAAUAUUUUUAUUAGACAUAUUAGGAAUGUAAAAGUCAAAUUUAUAAUAAUUUAACCAAACAUUAGUCAAAUUCUAUAAAUCCUCAGUAUAAAAGUUAUAUGGAUGAAUUCAAAUAUGAAAUAUCUUACUUCUAUACAUCUAAUAGUAUAUUGUAAUAGAAACUAUAUCAGUCAAUAUAUAUCUAUAAAUAUUUUCAAAUCAUCAUGUGCCUACUAAAAACAAACAAAGUUAAUGUUAUGGUUGUGAUUUUAUUGCUACAAAUAUUACUAGUAUUAUAAGAGCAUCUGCAGCAGUCUCCCAAUAAAUAUUUCCCAAUAACUAGUUAAUAGGGAUAUUCCAAUAUCACUUUCAUCGUUAUUGGGAGAGUUGCUUUUGCAGUCUCCCAAUAAUUUCAUCCCAAUCCAACUACCGUAUUGAGAGAGUUACAACUCCUUUAUUUAGGGAGAGUUGGGAUGAAUUAUUGGGUUGUCCCAAUAAUUAUUGGGAAAAGGGAAAGUUAAAGGAAGACUGUUGGAACACUAUUUUCUUAUCAACUCUCUCAAUAUGAUAGUUGGAUUGAGGAAAGGGAGAUUGCUAAAGAUGCUCUAAUAAGCUAUGUAUUCAAAACAAAGUGGUCAUGCGGGUAUUAGAGUUGUGAUCCGAAAUAACGGCAGGAAAAUUCUGUUAUCUGCAUGGCGAGUCAUUUUUUAUGCAGUGAGCGUACAGGAAGUGGAGGCAUUGGCAUGCAAAGAAGGGUGGCCCUUGAAGGGAGCCCGCGAUCUUAGAGUUAGACUGCAGUGCGGUCAUUCACUAAAUCAAGGAAGCGAGUAAGAUGAUACUAGCUAGCAUAAUUUUUCACGGUCUAGAAGGCUAAGCGCCUAGCGGAAAGUCUCCCAUGUCUCGUUUUGAGUCAUGUAAAGAGAUAGCAGAACGUAGUCGCACAUGAGCUUGCGAAGCAAAUCGCAAUGUAGUGUGGUGUGAUCAUCCCCCACUUAUAUGAGCAUUUGAUUGCUCAUGCCUGUAAAUUUUUUUUUGAGCAAUCAAUAAAGCGCUCUCUCUUUUUUAAAAAAAAAUUUGCAAAGAAAGAGACUACGAAUCAAAGUUGGAGAAUGUGACGAGUCAAAGCAUAUUGUGAAAUGGAGGCAGCAAAAUCCUAACGCUUCCUGUCGCAUCGACGUUCGAGCUCUGUGUACUUAAUUGAUUGCCACGUAGAAGCCGAAGAGUGCAGCGUCGAUUCAACUGGCGCGCGUCUAGACCCUAUAAAAGGACGGGGUUUCCAAGGCAGCACUGCACCGAUGCUUGCUCUGCACCAGCAAAGGCAGUCAAACUAACAGUACGCCGGGCACCGGAAGAUCGAUCGACCAGGCAUGUCGCCGCCGCCGGAGCAGGACAGGAGGCUUGGCGUCGUCAAGCCGGAGCCCGAUCCCAUGAUCAAGCUCAAGGUGCUGGACAACGAGGGUCGCAGGGUCUUCCACUCCAUGAGGAUGUCCGACAAGCUCCAGGCGGUCAUGGAUGCGUACUACGCGAAGGCGCCCGACGUGACCUACGGCUCCGGGACCUUCAUGUUCGAUGGAUCCAUCCGGCUGCGGGGCAGCGAGACGCCGGCGGAGCACGGUCUGCAAGAUGACGACGUGAUCGACUCCUACGAGGACCUGGUGGGCGGCGGACGGGACGACGCCUGAUGCACCGGACCGGCGGCUGAUCGAUCGAUGGCCGCGCGAGUACGUCGUAGCAGUCGUUUAAUGGAUGUCGUUAUAUUAUCAUUCGCCAGUCAUCACUAGUCUCCAAUUAUUACAAAGACGUAUCAUCUACUAGGAUUCAUCUUUCUACUAUACAUGCAAGGUGGAUCCAAUAUGUUCUCUUGAAACUUUGUUAUUGAUGCAUCUUCACAGUUUACCUGCUGAAUUCAACUGUCAAAACUUUUCUAAGGCCCCGUUUGGAUCAUUGGAAUUGAAUUCCAUCCUAAUAAUCAUAAUUUAGACACAAAUUAAUUAAACUAAUAUAAUUGUAUGUGGAAUAUAGUUGUAUAUUAUAGUUGGUGAUAUGGGAGAGAUACUUGUAUGCUGCACUUCUACUAUAGAGAAGCGAGUCUAAGAGCGUGCUAUAAGAAUUGAAUUCCAUUCUAAUAACCAUAAUCUAUAGAAUCAAUUUCCAUCUCCCACCCCAUGAAUUUAAAAUAGGCUUAUAUCUAAACUUUGGAAAGUUGUGGAAUGCCACAUUCCAACAUAAAUUAGCCUACUCCAUUAAAUAGAUUCCAAUUCCUUGGACCCAAACGGGGCCUAAGCGAAAUGAAGCGUUCGUGGUAUAGCACUUGGAUCAUCCACGGCCCGAUGAUCGAUUGCCCAGGCGGCUGAGAUCUCUUUAGUCGUCUAGAGCUCACGGGGGAAUUCCGAAGAUGCGUUCGGGGCAUUCGAUAGCUUAGCCGCGUCCUGGUACGUCAUGAUUCAUGAACAGUUUGAUCUGGUAAAUUAUGAUUUCAUUGAAGACAUUGCCGUUCCAUUUUCUAUUGAUGAAUUUUUUUAUUAAUCUUCUCGUAAAAAGUUUUUGACGAGGCACUUUAUGCGAUCCAUUGCUUACGAUAUACAUCAAGUUCAACAAAGUGGUUUGGCCUUUUUUUUAGAUAUGCAAAAUAUAAAUCUAUUGAUGCAACUUUGAGACAUGAAAACAUAUAAUUUGACUACUCUUGGAGUAAAACCUACAAAUUAAAGUAUUGACUAUUUGAUACACCCUACGUAAAGAAACAGAGUAAGCAAUGCACGUCAAGCAGACAAAUGAUACGAUCAAGUUCAACAAAUUAAAGUGGUUAGUGGUGAGAAGCAGAUUUUGGUAGGCAUAUACUUCCGUCUCAUCAUCGAUGCGUCGAACAACAAUGGCACGGAUGGCAAGUAUGAGGCGGUGGUGCACGAGAUGGAUUGGGGAGAAAAACUCUCCCUUGAGUCCUUUUAAGUCGGCUAAUUGAUCUACAAUUAGAAUGACCGUCUUAAUGCAAUUAUCCUAAAUAAUGAUGUCAAGGUGUAUUUUCAUGCCUUUGGAUUUUUUUAUGGUUAUAUACAAUUGUCUCAGGAAGCUUGUGCCUCAAGCAUGUCUCUCUCCUAGGAGUAGAUCACUGCCUCACUGGAGACCACAAGAUCAUAGAGCUUCCGACUAAAGUGAGCAGUUUCUUCGAGCUUCUGAGUUCACCAGAAAGAGCGAGGUUGCUACUAAAGGGAGCAGUUUCUUCGAGCUUCUGACUAAAUCGAUCCAAAAUUAUGUCAAACAAUUUCCACUAAAUUACAAGAUAACUAUAUAUUGCAGGAGCUGAUGUGAUAUGAAUCCACUAAAUCACUUCCAAGUUGUAUUUGAACAAACUGUCCAUCGGUUUCCAUCCAUUUCGCCGGAAUACAAGCUCUUAUUAGUAAGGGCUGCAUGCAAGGACUGUCUUAAUUUUUUGCUGUAAGGUAAAACUAGUUGUCAAUUAAUUUCAGGCCAAUCAUUUUCUACUAAAAAUUGCAAGAUACUACUUAAUUUGACACAUCCAAUUAAUAUUUUCCAAAUUGUAUCGAACACCCUGUCCAUCAGCCAUUUGUUGGCAACGUCACGAGGCUAAGUGCUAUUAAAUGCCUCAGUCGUGUCUCCAAUCUUCAGCAAAAACUAUGAACCUGCCAAUCUUGUUAGUACUUCAAUAGACUUCCUCGAUUCUAAAUUAUAGUUCACUUUAGCGUUGUUCUAAACCAAACUAUUCUCUCUGACUAAAUGUAUAGAAAAAUAGAACAAUAUCUACUAUCAGCAUAUUUCUUAGCAGAUUCAAUGAAACUAUAAUUUGACGUUAUAGAUCUUAAUGCCUUUUUUAUGAACUUGAUCAAAGUUAAAGAGAUUUGACUCAGAACAAUACUCGUAUAUACUACUUACAUUUUAAAAGAAGUAUAAAAUAAAGUAGUUAUUGUAAUGAAUGUAAAAUAAGCUUAGAAGAAACCUCAAUGACCAAAUUGGGACUGCAGAAAGUACUUUCUCCACCCUAUUACUGGCUCCGCACGCACAAGAGAAACAAAAGCACGAGCUUGUGGCCAUUAUUCAAACAAUAAAAUUAGCACUAGUCACUUGGAGAGAAACCGGCAAAACAUCCAGAAAUAUACCACACAUAGGGGUGGUAAUGGAUCAUGCCUCCUUCACAAUCCAACUCAACCCUAUUUAUUUUUAGUUCAAAAUCAUAUAUUAUUAUAGCCCGAUACAUAUUGAGCAUGAUCCUUAAAUUUGCUAAGUUAAAUUAGAGGGCCCUUUACCACACCUAACCACGCCACAAGAACAAAAUUCAACAAGCUGUUGGUAACUCGGUACUCUACCGGUUGGAUACAAAACAAUAUUAAAAACUGCUGCUACUAAUAUUCUCUUAAUGAAAUACAUGCACGUUUAUAAAAAAAAUGACUCACAUGACCCUCCUAAACCUAGAGAACAGACUCGAUUGAAACUAAUCGGGAACCUAAUAAUAGUGAGCACAGUCACUGGCAUGUAAAUAAACUAAGUAGAGCUGUAUAUCUAGAUAUUGAGGUAGUUCUUGAUGGACUCCUCGAACUCCUUGACGACGGCUUUCCAUCCGGCAUGGGUCGGGUUGAUGUCGUCCCAGUAGAAGAACUUGUCCGGCUUGGACCCCAGGCUGUACUGCGGCUCACCGUCCUGCACCUGCCCGCAGAACCCGCUCCGGUCGAAGCUCUCGCAGCACGACUCCAGCCUGUACUUGAACUGCUUCGAUCGCGGCGACGGGCCCGCGUAGUGGCUGAAUGCGGCUUUCAGGUCGAGGUUGAAGACGGCCUCGUCCUGGAACACCUUCUCCUCGAGGUACGAGUUGUGGAUGCUCGCCACCUUCUGGCUGUCGCACUUGGCAUCGUAGACGCCGUCCUCGGACCUCGACAGCCACGGCGUGCACCCGAGCGGGGGCAGCGAGGUCACCACCACCUUCUCGACGCCCAGGUCCAUCAGCUGGUCCACGGCGUCGGCGAUCUUGUCCGUCACCUCCUGGGCCUUGGCCUUCACCUCCGUGCUGGUCAUGUCGUUGAAGCGCUCGUAGUCGCGCCUGCCGGAGAAGGCGAUGAGCGCGACGGAGUCCGUGAGGUCCUCGUCGAUGAUGCCGAGCCUGACCAGCCUCUUGAACUUGUCCACCUGCCUGCCGAGCCUGGGCGCGUCGCUCGUCCCCUCCACCACGCCGGCGCCGCCGACGGCGAAGUUCAUGCCGGACGGAUCGACGCCGUCCUGCUUCCUCUUACUCUCCGCCGGAGGGGACUCCUUCCGCCCCAGAAUCCUCGCUGCACAAAUUAUGUAUUGAUGAGACAGGGCCAGGAUUUAGAAUAUUAAGUACUGAUCCGAGCUUAUUAUUACGUACCGAAGAAAUCAGAGAGGACCAAGCCGUUGGAGAAGCGGCCGCUUGGAGUGGCGCCGUGCUCCUUGUCGUUGCUGCCGUACGGGUAGUACCAUGCGCGCGUCGUCUUGGUCAGGUCUGCUAGCGGGAAGUUGCCGGCGUCGGCGAACUCGUCGCCGAACACGAACAGCUUAUACCGCCGGCCCGAGUCGCUGUCGCGAUGGCGUCGGGACUCCACAUGAGCAGCUGCUAACAACAACGUUAAUUAAAGCUCCGAUCCGAGAGCAGAACAAUGCACGACAGCAAGUAAACCACCUGGAGAAAUUAGCAAGAACAAGCAGAACAACACAUACCGUUCAGCAGGAGUAGGAGGCCGCAGACGGCGGCGAAAAGAAGCUUCAUGCUGGCUGGUUCCUUGGAUUUCGAUCGAAGGCGAGUUGCGCGGGGCGCGGGUGUUGAGGUGAGUCAAUUGCUGAGUCGUGGUGCCAGGACGACGGCGAGCGUCGCAAUUUAUACACGGGAGAUCGAGUUCCGAGUCCUACUGGGGGUGGGGGAGGCGCGCUUGUUUGCCCAGUCCGCCGCCGACUGUAACUCGUUUCCAAGCCUAGCUGGUACACUGACGAACAACAAGUCAGAAAGCCGACGAUUCCUGCUCGGAGUUGGCGGGUUGGCGGGCCUUUUCUCUCUAGGAUCUCACCAGGCCUCAAAAUACCCGGGCCAGUACAGCAGAAGAGGCCCAUCGCUACCACCCCAAUACAUGCAUACGACCAGCGUUCACUAAUGGGCCCCAUCCCUGUCUGCACGGACGACGAUAGAAGUUGGCCCGAAAUCAACACGGCUGGGCCUGGGCUGUGCAUCACAGAACCCUUUUUUUCUUUGGCGACGAACAAAACCCCUCGCCACUACUACUUAGCCACGCAUGAUGAUGAUGAAUUUACGUUUGAUGAUUGCUUGUUGAUCAAUCAGUCGAUCGAUCGAUCUGCGGAGUACUCUGACGGAAGGAAAGCUAACCCUCUCCGCCGGCGCCGGCGCCACCGCAAUGUGGUUCACCUCCCGUCGCAAACCCAACGCCGCCGAACCUUCCGAGGAUGCACCGUCGUCCUCCUCGCCACGCAGCUCGCAACCCCGCGGCUACUCCCUCCGCAUCUCAUCCUCCAACCCCUGCCCCCAAACCCAGAGCUCCCGCGACGGAGCCCUAGCCUCCGCCACCUCCUCCUCCGCCGCCGCCUGCGACCUCGGCGGCGGAUGGGGGAACUCCGUAGGCCGCGGCGGCGGCGGCUUCCUGUGGUGGAUCUUCUCCGCCGGAGCGGCGCGCGCGGACGAGGGGAAGCCGGCGGGGGCCGACUGGGACGCGCACGGGCUCCCGGUCACGCGCACACCGGUGCCGCUCUCCAGGCUCGACGGGAGGAAGCGGUACAAGGUCUCCGAGCUCAACUUCCUUGACUGCCGCGCCCGGGACCGCGCCAGCGCCCGGGACCGCGCCAGCGCCGCGGAGAAGAACCCCUUGUUCGACGACAUGGCCAAGCUGCGCCCCGGCGGCGUGUACACCCGGUCGCAGCUGCUCGGGCAGCUCCAGGCGAUGACCUCCUCCGGCAUGUUCGAGCAGGUCAGCCUCCAAGGGAAGCCCAAGCCGGACGGCACGCUCGCGCUCACCGUCACCUACGCCGAGAACAUCUGGCCUGGAGCCACCAAACGGCUCAAGUGCGUCAACGUUGGACUCAUGGCGCCGCCCGACGCUGGCCCUGCUGAGGACAUGACGGCGAGGGAGAAGAUGGAUUACAUCCGGAGGCAGGACCAUGACUACCGGCAGCGAAUCCGCAGCGCCAAGCGGUGCAUUCUACCGGAGUCUGUGCGCGAGGAGGUGCUGGGGAUGGUGAAGAAGCAGGGGAAGUUGACCGCCGGGGUGCUGCAAAGGAUGAGGGACCGCGUCGAGAAGUGGUACCACGACGAGGGCUUUGUGUUCGCCCUGGUGCAGAACUUCGGGAACCUCGACACCGACGAGGUUGUGUUGGAGGUGGUAGAGGGGGACAUCACCAUGGUGGAGUACCAGUUUCAGGACAAGCUUGACAAUAUCGUCGAGGGGAACACUCACAUCGCUGUCGUUGACCGGGAGCUGCCCCAGCAGGUAUGUAUAUAUAUAUAGGCAAUUUUCCUUACUACAUCAACAUCAGUUCCAUGGUUAAUUAACAUGUUCUGUUCGAGAUGUCUAUGGAUGAAUUGUUGUUUAAUGUGCCACGAGUUGAUUGGUUCGAUGUAUUCUAUUACGAUUCUCAAACACAUUUACUCUGACCUGAUAUGCUUUCUUGCAACCAUGUAAUUUACCUUCUGCCUUUCUUACACUGUGCAGCUUCGACCUGGCCAUAUCUAUAACAUUGGGGCAGGGAAACAAGCUCUGAAGCAUAUCAAUUCACUCGCUUUAUUCUCCAAUAUAGAAGUGAACCCUCGCCCUGACGAGACAAAAGAAGGGGGUGUAGUGGUUGAAAUAAAACUCAAGGAACAUGAACCAAAGUCGGCCGAAGUAACUACAGAGUGGAGCAUUGUACCUGUGCAUCAAGGGAGACCAACUCUUGUAAGGCACCACUUAUUUGUAACCUUUUUUCCUUCUUCUCUGCAGAAUCUGUACCUUGAAUGAUAGAAAACAUCAUAAAUAUAUAACCGCCAAUCAUUAUAAAUCCAUGUUUCACAACCCAUCUCACGGAAACUUUCUUUUUAGGCAUCAAUUCAACCUGGAGGAACUGUGUCAUUUGAGCACCGCAACAUCUCUGGUUUAAACAGAUCUCUUGUCGGUUCUGUUACUUCCAGCAACCUGCUCAAUCCUCAGGUGAGUUGGUACUGAGUUCUUUUAUUGAAAACAGAAGCUUUGAUGCAAUGUUGCUUUGGUUUACAAUUACAUCUACAUUCGCUCUGAUCUGCUUGUACUAAAUUAGCUGAAUUGUCACUUAUAACCGUCUCAGUCUUCCUUUGUAACUAUAUGUUUCGAGUCAUAUUUCAAUUAUCAUUAUUACAUGAAGUGUGGAACUCAGUUGAGUGUCUUCUGCAUUGAAAUGUGAAACAUUGCAGACUUUAAUUGCCAUUCUGCUGCAAUCUGAAAUAAGUAAAUAAAAUUAUACCCUUGUUUCAUGAUUUAAAAACAUUUAGUUUAUAAAAUGUACUGGUAUGGUUUACAAGGCAUAUGUUUCAUUUUUAACUGAUCCGUUAUAUUUGUAUUUACGGCAUGUUUCUUUUGGGAUAUCAGGAUCAUCUCUCAUUCAAGCUUGAGUAUGCCCAUCCUUAUUUGGAUGGUGUGGACGACCGUAGUAGAAACCGCACCUUCAAAGCUAGCUGCUUCAACGUCAGGAAAUUAAGUCCUGUCUUUGUUGCUGGCCCCAACAUGGAUGACGCUCCACCUAUCUGGGUUGAUAGAGUUGGAAUUAAAGCCACUAUAACAGAGGUUUGCACAGAUUGAUAUUACCUUCUUCAUCUUUUGAUUUUCAUAAAUAUCUACUCCCAAGAUAUAUUUUUAACAUGAGGAAACUGCAUUUGGAAAUUUUUUCAGAGCUUUACAAGGCAGAGCAAAUUCACUUAUGGCCUCGUGUUGGAAGAGAUUAAAACACGCGAUGAAGAUAACAACAUAUGCACACAUGGUUCUCGAGUAUUGCCUAUUGGUGCAUUGAACAUGGAUGGACCUCCCACAACCUUCAGUGGUACCGGUGUAGAUCGAAUGGCAUUUCUACAAGCUAAUAUAACUCGAGACAAUACUGAGUUUGUAAACGGGGCAACUAUUGGUGACAGAUGUAUAUUCCAGGUGGGGUGUUUUGUUCUCAGUGAAUUUUCAAUUGUUGCUGGGUGUUUAAAACCAAAUUGACUGCACUGUGCCAAAAGGAGAAAGCCAGCUCCUUACACAACUGAUGUUUCUGUUUUCGUAUGAGGCUGCUGCACAAUGCAUAAUGCUGACUGUUUAGGCACAUUUUAGCAAAUGUUAUCAUUACAAUUUUUUUAGAAUCAAGGUAUUCUUGUUUAUGUUAUAAUUGCUUUUCAGUUAUAUUUUAAAUAUCUGGGUUAGUUCUUGUUUAACAGCAUCAUGUGUUUAUAGAAAGUUCUCCAUGGUAAAGUAAAUCCACUUAUAAUUUUCUUGUGGGCCGCAGUUGGACCAAGGUCUUGGCAUUGGAAGCAAAAAUCCAUUCUUCAACCGUCAUCAGCUUUCAGCGACAAAGUUCAUUAAUUUGAAUAAGCAAGAUAAAGGUGCUGGCAAGCCACCACCAGCAAUUUUGGCGAUUCAUGGUCGCUACGCAGGCUGUGUAGGAGAUCUGCCGAGCUAUGAUGCAUUUGCAAUCGGAGGACCUCACUCUGUUAGGGGCUAUGGCAUGGGAGAACUGGGUGCUUCCAGGAAUCUUCUUGAGGUGAGCAUCAAACUAUCGAUCCUCAGGGGGAUUUGGCACUUACUCUGAAUCAUGAUGCAUAGUUGUUAUCGCUGUUCAUGUCGUAGUCGUGGAGGUUUUGCUUUUCUUCGGAUUUGUUUUGAAUCUUAUAUCCAUGCAGUUUGCCACUGAGUUGCGUGUCCCCAUCACUGUGAAGAACAAACAAACGCAGGUGUAUGUAUUUGCUGAGCAUGGCACUGACCUCGGGAGUUCCAAGGACGUGAAGGGCAACCCUACAGAGUUCUUCCGACGCGCAGGCUCUGGGUCCUCCUAUGGCAUUGGUGUCAAGCUCGGCACGGUAAGGGCGGAGUACGCUGUAGAUCACAAUGCUGGUACGGGAGCCUUCUUCCUGAGAUUUGGCGAAAGAUUCUGAAGGCCGCGUCUCUGUCCAGCUUGACGAUCAGAAAGCCCUAUGUAAAUUCGACUGCCAACUUUCUAGAAUAAAAUUAACUCGUGAAGAUAUAACGUCACUGAAUCUUGUAGCAGCAAGGCCCGCGUUAUGAAUGGUUGAGAGUAAAGUCAGAUUCAACUGGAAUAAGAGUUUCGUUUUGAUGGAAGGAUGUCAUUGUACUCUCUUCCUCCGUGGAACUGUACUAGAUGGUAGUCUCGGAGUAUUAUCUUGAACUUGGUAACUAAACCUAUUGAGUGUUAGGAGGAUAAAACUCUUCUCUCAAACUAGAACUUGUGCAUUCACGAUGCAUCCGACAGCUUGCAUCUGUCAGGUGCACGAGAGCACCAGAUGUACUCGGAGCACCCGAUCUUCUCUUACAUCAUUUUUUAAUCUAAAUUGCACAAAUUUGAUAAAUUUGGGCUUUGGGUGAUUUCGAAAUUGCUAUCGCAUUUUCUAGAAUUUAAAAAGUUAUGAUUUAAUCAAAAAUUCAUAACUAACUUAUUUCAAAUCUAAAAAAUAUGAAGUUGGUACAAAAUUUUUCUAAAAAUGUAGGCUAUUUGUUCAUACUCUAUUUGAAAUUGUUUACAUCAUAUUUGUUACUAAACCUAGUGUUAUAUUGUUUUUAAUAAAACACAAGGAACAUGAACAAUCUAGUUUUAAAUAAUGCUAAAUAGUACACCAACAGAUAGUUUACAUUUUUAGAAAAAUUUUGGCACCAAUUUAAUAUUUUUCUGAUUUGAAAUGAAUUAGUUAUGAACUUUUUAAUUAGAUCUAAACUUUUUAAAUUUCUAAAAAAUUGCAAACCACUCCUAAAACUAUCCAAAUGGCUAAAUUUAUCCGGUUUUGACAUAUGAAUGGCCCUCCGUGUCCAGUUUUGUAGUUGUCAGUAUAGACAUGUGUCACAUCACUUUAUUAAUGAAGUAAAAAUUCCUACAAAACCUUCGCUGCAAAUGGCCUUACCGCCUCCCGAUUAUCACCGUUUGUUGUUACCUUUUUCUUUUCCAUUGCUAUGUUUGUCCUCCUCGCCUUUGUGCUCCCCACGUUAGGUGAAUUUUCAAACCUUUAAGGCUAAGAUUGGGAGCCCUUUGUUUUCUCAUUUUUUUAAAACAAAAGAAGAAGAAAAUGAAAAGCGGCUUUACCUGCACAACUGCAGUUUUGGCUAGAAUUUACUCCUAUGUCGAGUAAUUGCUCAUGUAGUGUCGCGGCAUCUUCCAUCGCUUCGACUCCUAUGCAUUAACGCAUGGGAACGCAGCAAUCGGAAAGUUCAGUCUUGAGUGCGGCUGCCUUGGACGGUGCAGGGUGGAGAGCGGGGAGGCUUUGCAUGCAUGGAGUUAAUUAUUAAUGGGCUAAUGGCCGCCUAACCUUCUCCGUUCUGCUUGUGAUAAAACUGAAUCGGCGGCGCAUGCCGGACACCCGUUAUAUAGACCAAACAUGCUUAUGACUAAAAUAAGCUGAAGCUGAAACUAGUAGCCAAACGGUAUACUUUUUUCAGCUUCUUCUGUCUGCGCUUCUCUCCACAGGUUCCAUUUGUUUUCCUAUAUUAGUACAGUUUAUUUGAGAAGCAGCUCCCGCAGCAGUACCGUCGUAACCACACGCCCGGCGGAAAGCCUGGGAAAGCAUAGUACCAGCAAAGGAGUCGCCGGAGCCGCCCGCGAUGACGAAGUACGUCACGCUCUCCGUCCGGGACGAAGAGUACCGCGAGAUCACCCGCACCAUGCGCACGACCGACAAGCUGCACACCCUCAUCGAUUUCUACUACGACAUGGUGCCCGCCGUCGCGUACGGCGAGGGGGCCUUCCUGCACCGCGGCGAGCCGGUCGACAGGAUGAAGACGCCGGCGGACUACGGGAUGCGCGAUAGGGACGAGCUCGCCUUCUCGUCGCAGAUCGACUCGAGCACGUUCCUCACGCUGACCGUGCGGGAAGAGGAAGGGCUCGGGUCCUUCUCCCUCACCUUGCGAACGACCGACCAGCUGCGGGACCUGAUGGACUUCUGCUACGAGAUGGUGCCCACCGUCGACUACGGCGACGGGGUCUUCCUGUUCAACGGCAGGCGGGUUAAAGGCCACCGGACUCCGGAGGAGCUCGGUAUGGUGGAUGGCGAUUGGAUCGGUGUUACUUUCAGAGUUCGUUACUGAACGUCGUCGGGCUGCUUCCGCUGAACCGGCACCGCCCGUAUGUUGCUGCACUUUUCGUUGUGUAAGCAGCUGCUACUUGCGUGCAUCUAAAUUUCACGCAUCUUUUGUUCCAAAAUUUAUCGAUAUCCAUGAAUCGAUCCCUCUCACUCAUCUCACCGUGCUUAUGAUGUACUGAAAUAUGUCAUGGUUACCUAUUCUAGAGUAUCGAGUUUAAAGCCAAAAAAUAUGUAGUAUGUCAAUGUGACUUGAAGUGACAUGAUUCAACACUUUACACAAAAGCAUGGUCGUGCAACUUGAUUGAAUUGAUUCACAUUUUGUGAACAAAAACUAAUUCAACAAUUUCAAUGACCUGAUCUAGCGUUUUGUUAAACUAAUCGAUUCAACAUUUUAUAUCAAACUGUUUAGAAUGUUGAACUAGCGCGCUCAAACUUCUGAACUUCCUACGAUCGGAUCGGCCCAACCACAGCCCUAAACGGUCCGGCCCAGGGCGGCCUCGGUCGGUUGCCCUCUCGCCCAGCACGGGACCAUACCCGGUGCAGCGAAUAGGGUAUCCUCCCGCCGCCGCACUCUCUUCGUCCCGGAUCGAUCCCCAUUCCAUUCCCCACCCGGCUCCAGCACGGAACUUUCCUCUCUCUAGGGUUCCCCCCCUAUCCCCCUCGAGUCUCGACCGUACCAGGUAAAUUACAGGUCCACCCGUCCCGCGUUCGGUCCGAUCCCGUGAUUCGAGCCUUCGCGCAUCGAUCCGGGACUCUUCCGCCCGCAAAUUUCCCCGCGGCGGAGUUUCGCGGCCUCUUUGUAUUUGGGCCAUUCGAGUUGAUUAUUUUGGAGGAUUGAGUGUGCGUUGUUAGAUUUUUUGUGCGACGACUGCGGUGUGUUAAUUGGAGGUUGAAAGAAUUGUAGCUGUUUUGAGGCGGCAAGCGAGUGCUGCAGAAGCAUCACAUCUGCGCCGAGGCAUGGAUAAGGAGCUCUUCGCCAACGACGGCUCCUUCAUGGAGAGGUUCAAGCAGAUGCAGCAGGAGAUGCAGGAGAAGGAGAAGGCCGCUGCUACUGAAGCCUCAUCGGCUCCCAAGCACGGGAGCUCCAAGCCGGGGUUUGCUGUUGCGGCGAACAAGAGGCCGUUCGAGCUGAAGAAGGCUGGUCCAGUCGCCACGGGCGGGAAGCUGGCCUUUAGCCUGAAGAAGGCCAAGGUCGCGGUCGCCCCUAUUUUUGCGGCCGACGAAGAGGAAGAGGAUGUGGAGAGGGAGGAGCCUGCCAAGCGCCACAAGUCUGUGCAAGCUGAUGCUCCUGUGGCAGCUACCCCGGCAGGGGCUGUUGGUAAUCAUUUAUUUAUUAAUUCAUUCAUUCAUUUAUUGCUGUUAUAAUAUAAAAAAUUAUUAGUGGUUUCCCAUUCUUUGGAUUUUUUGUUGGCGUUCUGUGGGUGUAGUUGCUAUCAAAUGAUAAGAUAGAAAUAUGCGACAAGAAUUUUAAUUCAAUAAUUGUCCUAGAACAUCAGCUAUAUAUUGCCUCUUAUCUUUUUUGCUUUUGAAUUCAUUCCCCAUAUAUGUGACAUAUCAUAGGUUUUACUCUUGAGAUGACUUCUAAUUUGGUAUCCCAUACCCCAAUUAAUACCACCGACACAUAUGGUUAUAUUGUCAUUUUUUAAUACAUUUUUCUGUUCCAUGCAUUUGAGGGUGUUAUCCUGAGUCCUGACAGUAUUGCAUUCAUAUUGAUAGUGAAACGAACUAACUAGAUACUUUUUAUUUCAUUUGUCACAUACUGAUUUAACUAGAAAGUAGCACUGCGUUGCAUAUGCAUUUUUAGUGAAAUUAUUACUUGUAGGACUGCUUGGAUGUCAAGUAUAUUUUGGUUUCGUAUGGUUUCUAUAAUAUGUCAUAGCAUAAAAACUUUUAGGUGUUGGUAUACAACUAACAGUGUACAAAUGUAGUAUUCCAACCACCAUGUUAUUUUGGAGUUUAUGAAGGAAACCCAUUAAACACCUCUUUUUCCUAAAAAGUAAACACGAGGCAUGCUACGAUUUCCCUUUCUCACCACAUGCGAAGUAUUUAGCAUUCCUGUCUAAUUUCAUGCAGUACUAUCAGUAAACACAUUCCUAAUGUGACUAAUCUGAAUUGCAUACAUUCAUUUUGGAUUGUUCACAGUAUUACUUUAGCCUUUUUUUAUCUCCAUAUAUAUAAAGUAUUGUUAUAAUUAGCCUACCCCAACUUGCUUGGAACUGAAAGGCUAUGUUGUUGUUGUUGUUAUUGUUAUAAUCAAAGCUAACUGCAUUCAAAUAGGCAAAUAGUAUGUAUGUAUGUAUCAUGCUUUAUUUAGUUUUCCUCUGUUGGAUAGUUCUUCUAUAUACUGUAGAAAAUGGUGGUUUUCACAAUUUAUGUUGUUUCAGUUCCCAUGUAUUAAAAAUAUGGUUUUCAAAAACUCUGCUUUGAAAUGUUCCUGACAUCAAAACACAUCCUUAUAGUAUUGAUUUCAUGCAUUUACAAAUGAUAAAAAUGGAUCUAGAAAGCAACAAAUUGCAAUGCACAUUGGUGUUGGAAUCGACCAUCUAACAGUGUUUAAUAAUUUUUUAAAACUAUCCAAGAAAAUUGCUUGCUGUUGCACAACGUGAUUUAAACCCUCCGUUUAUGCUUGGCUCAUACGUUGUUAGGUUUACAAAAGAAACAUCUUUCUCAGUGUUUGGGUUCAUUAUAAGUCAGGCAGCAGAAAGUCGUGAAGGUUUUGUUUUUUUUUUCCGAUAACUGCAGCUUAUAGAUGAACUGUAUUGGCAUUGCCAGGAAGGAUAUGAUUGAAAGAGUUGGAGACUCUACUGCAGUAAUUUGCAUUGCCUUGUCAAUAUGCUUGAUAUUAAUAGUUCUUUAAGUGACAUGCAGCCCCACCCCCACCAAAUGAUAUGACAGUGAAGCAAGUUGCUGACAAAUUGGCAAGUUUUGUUGCAAAAAAUGGGAGACAAUUUGAGAAUAUCACACGGCAGAGGAAUCCUGGAGAUACACCAUUCAAGUACGACUGCACUACUUAUUUUUCUGAUAAACUCUGUUUUACUUUUAAAUUCUAAAAUCUGACUUUAAUAAAUUAUUGAUAUAAAUCUUGGGUUAUUUGCAGAUUUCUAUUUGACAAACACUGUCCAGACUACAAAUAUUAUGAGUUUCAGCUUGCUGAAGAGGAAAAGGCUCUUGGUCAGUCAAAGGAUGCUGAAGCAUCAAAAAAUGGUUUGUGGCACAAUUUUUUUAAUCAUUUUCUAUAUCUAAAAGUUCUAUAAAAGUCUUGAUGCUAUAUACUCUUGUUAAUGUAGCUAGUUCUAGCACUGCAAGCUUCAAAGCACCAAGUGGUCCGUAUAAAAGCUCAUUUGAACAAAAGUCCAACUAUCAGACACCUGCAUCAGCUUUGUAUGGGGCAUAUGAGGGUAGUUCUUCCCAAGGAAGCUCAUCUAGUUAUGGUAAAAUAUACAUACAUGGUUUCCUUUAUCAAAUGUUAUAUAUCUACAUUCUCUAUGUUCCUGGACUGUUCGCCUGUUUACAUUUGUUUGAGUUUGCAUUUUGCAAGUCAUCCAAAUCAGGCACUUCUAUUGCCUUAGUAUCUUAUUGUUAUUUCUGAUGUCUUGAAUAUUAUGUUUCAUCCUUGUAGCUUCAAUGAAUAGAUAUAUUGUAGGGUUUCUGUUGUGAACCAUUAAAACCCUACUGCCUGUCAUCUCCCUGAUCUAUAGUUUGCUUUAGGAGUAAAAACCAUUGCUUCCUAUCUUGAACUGUUUCUUGUUAUUAUAUGUGCUUAAUGCUAGUUCAUCAUUUUGCAGGUGAUCACAAUACAUCUGCACCGUCAGAUCCUGUAGCUUUGAUGGAAUUCUAUGCGAAGAAGGCUGCACAGGAAGAACGGAAGAGGCCACUAAGACAGUCAAAAGAUGAAAUGCCGCCACCUCCUUCUCUUCAAGGUACAUUUUUUGCAACAUGAUUUGCCGUACUGGAAGAACAUAAAAACUUCAAUAUUUGUUCUACAACUAAAAAUUCUUGUUUUGCAGGUCCUCCUAAGAAGGGACACCACAUGGGUGACUUCAUUCCUCAAGAAGAACUUGAAAAGUUCAUGGCACGCUGUAAUGAUGCUGAAGCACAAAAGGCUACGAAAGAAGCUGCCGAGAAGGCUAAGAUUCAGGCAGACAAUAUUGGCCACAAACUUCUAUCUAAGAUGGGUUGGAGGGAAGGUCAGUCAUUGAUGAAUACUAAAUAACAUAGUCACCAUUACAGUAAUUCUCUGAUCAAACCCUGUCAGAUCUUUUUUUCAAAGUCCCAGAUGUUUAUGGCAACAGUACAUCAACCCCUCUGACCUUGACCGUCAUAUUCAUCCAACAAACCUUAAAAAAUUGUCAAAUUAUGCUGUUAACAAAGCCUUCCAUCCCAAAUACCAGAUAUAAGAACUAUUUACAAUGGAUCCUUUUUCCUCAGCAUUGUCCUGCAUGCAUUAAUUCUCAAUAUCCCUACCCGGUGGAACCUUUUUUGUCAGGCACAUAGGAAGGCAAUUAGCGAUAAUAUGCACCAUUCCACUUCCAGGUGUUAAAUAUAAUUUACUGUGCAGGUGAGGGUCUUGGUAGUGAGAGAAGAGGCCGUGCGGAUCCCAUUAUGGCUGGAGAUGUGAAGAAGGAUCAUCUUGGUGUUGGUGCUGUCAAGCCUGGUGAGGUCACAUCUGAAGAUGACAUCUACGAGCAAUACAAGAAGAGAAUGAUGCUUGGAUACCGCUAUAGGCCAAACCCUCUGGUAUAUUUGCUGCCAUUGUCUACUUCCAGGAGUUGUAUGUUAUUUCUGUUUGCCUAAACACUUCUGCUAUUUUUGCAGAACAAUCCAAGGAAACAAUAUUACUGAUACAGGUUAGUUCAUCUAAGAUGUAAGACACCAAUUUUGCUGUAUUUUUGCUCACAUAACUAACAGCUAGGGAGUAUGACUAACAGCAUUGAAAGUUUUUGUUCAUCAGCAGAAAAACUAAGAAGCUCAUUUAGUCAGCAUAUAUCUUGGAAUGCCACAGAUCUGAGGCUUACGGGGGGUUCAACCGUAGCUUUGUUCUUUGUGUAGUGUUGAUCUUUGUUGCUUUAAAUUCACUUCCAUGGUGAUGUGUUGAAACGUGGAGCAUAGUUUCAUAAUGUGAUGUAUUGCCUUCUUGGAUGACAACAUAUCUUUCCUGAUUAUUCAUCUUUUUGUUGGGAUUUAUUGCCGCAAUAUCAUAUUUCCAUACUGGGAGGCAUAAUCUAAAAGUCUGUUGCAAUGGUUCUAUUUUAUUCUGGAUUCUGGAAUUUGAAUAGCUAUGUGGAACGUGAGUGUCGGUACGGAAGCUAUUACUUACUGGCAGCAUAUAACUUGGCGUUAUUUCUGUAGGAGUUAAAAUUCUGUUAUGCUCUCUGCCACUCUGAUGUGCUGAAUUAAUGGGUUACUUUGAUUGUGAUCUAAGCGCUUAUGGCCUGAUGGGCUAAUCUUAUUACACGGUUUUAUUGCAUAGUUACUUAGAUUGAAAACUAGGUAAUAGUGCUAGAUGAGUGUUAUGGGGAUUAAACUCAUUUCUUGUUUGAUGAAACUAUCUUUAUUCAUUACCUUGCCAAGUUAGGUCUCGUUCGUUUCAUCAGGAUUGGAUUCCAGCCAGGAUUACUUCCAGGUCCGGUUUGAGUGAUUCCACCCGUGUCACUCAAUCCGGCCAGGAUUCAUUCCAGGGGUGAGGAGUUAUGGUUUCAAUCCAGGCCAUCUAAUGUAGUAGGAUUCCAAUCCAGAUCGGUUUUCGUUCCAGGCAAGACUAAAACGAACAACACUUUCAAUGCAAGUCUGGUUUCAAACCGGACCAAUUCAAACCACCCGGAAUGAACCUCAUUCCGGGCCAAUCCGUGAAAACGAACAGGCCUUAGCAAUUUUGGUGUGGCAUGAACUCUCGUGAAACAGACUGACCUUACUGUUAUGCUCUCUGCCUCUCGGUCUCGGAUGUGCUGCAUUAAUGGGUGACGUUGAUUGGAAACCACAGUAAGGGAGACAUAAAUUUAUAUUUUAGGAAAAUAUCGUAAAGUUUGCACAAGCGUAUCUAUUACUCUAUAUUAAUGUUGCUAGACUAGACGAAAUCUCAGAGGCUGAGCUACUGUUCACCGACGCUGGUACGUGGGUCCGAAAUCCAAUCAGUUAUGAAAAAAAAAAAAAGAAGAAGAUUCGAGAGUCCACAGGUCUCGGUCCUCCACGACCACGAAGAAUCGGCGAACUCCAUUUGCCUAGCCGCACCUAUCGCCGUUGGUCCGCUCCGCACGCUGGGGCCGCCGGCUCGCUCCGGCGCCCGCUCCCUCGACCGGCGGAUCGCGCCGCCGCCCGCUCGAGCAGCCGCAUGCGCCGCCCGGUGGGAAUGUGAGAGCACAUCAGCAACCACCGGCGGCCGUCAACACCACUUGAAUCUUGGCAUGGAGAGAGAGAAAGAGAGAACAGAGCUGUGCAGCGCAAAAGUCUGGACAACCAACCGAAUCAGGCCACCGGCGUCGGCUCUGCCAUUGCUUCCACCGAUAGACUUCCAGAGCAGUCUGCCACCGUGGCCUCUCACUACCCUCUCUAGAGCAACCAGCAGCCGUGGCUCCGCGCUCACCGAGCCCAAAAAUGAUGGCCUUCUAGCUGCAGGCAAGACCUCAAUCCGCAGGAAUCAAAUUCACUCUCCAAGUCUUUGUAGCUUUUGUGGAUGGAUGGGGGAGAGAGAGAGAGAGAUUGCCAUGGGGAUGACCGGAUGACUAGAUGAAGGGAUAAAGGGCACAGUGCACUUAAAAAAGAAAGAAAAUAGGCCUUUUAGACGCUUUCCUCACUGGCUUUUUACAAAACAGGAGGGGAUCCCUUACUAAUUACUAUAUUAAGCAAAACAAAGAGAAAGUAUGUACAAAAGAAAAGAUAUUUAGCGAAUGAAAGAAAAAUUACAGCAGAGUAUGCAACCGUCGUACUUCAAUGGGAAAAUAGGAUUUCUUUGCUAAAUAAUGAUUCAGAGCAAAUAAAUGCAUAAAAAUCUCUUUCAUCUAGAGGAACGGCAUGAAUUUGAAUUCUGGUUUCAUUCUGAUUUGUUUCCUAAUUUUGUUCAAUACUCAAUACUAUAAUAUAUACUUAUAGCAAAGUAGAGAGAUUACAUAUGUAACUCUUUCCGUUAUUGCUUUGAGUUAAUAUUUUUGUACAGGCGCGCAUCGCGCGCCAAUCUAUCUAGCAUGGCACUUGGUGAGAUACGAAAGUUGACAAGUAGGGCCCAUUCUUGCCCCCCUUGUCUCACCAUCUCGUAUCUCGCGGCUGGCUCACUUGAACUACCAUGUGCUGGGCACCUGAAGCUGAAAUGCUGAAAGCGAAGCGCCCGCCGCCCGCAGCGAUCAGAGCGCCGGUACAGGAAUCUCUCACGCAGUCACGCUGCUGAUCGCCUCCCUCCCCAGUCCUCACUGAUUGCGCUUUGCCUCUGGCCCGGCCGGGGCCCCGGGCCUCAUGCAUGUCCAGUCACGCCCACCAAACGGAACGCAGCCAUCUUUUUGUAAUAAGCACCAAGUUGGCGGCGUUAACAAUGCGGGAUAAUCCGCUGGAUCAUCAUCGGGGACGCUGGCCUGGUUUGAUGACCUGGACGAAUAUCAUCGAGCUACCAAUCUUGGAAGAGAAGUCUGGAGGCGCAUGCUGUCGGGUGUCAGCCUGUCUCCACCGCUGGCCGCCUCGCUGUCAGCUGUACUGCACUGCACCCGGUCACUCAUUCACUGGCCGGUAGGCAAGCUUGAGGCUCAAGUAGCCGCCAUAAGCCUCCAUUGAGUACUCCUGCCAGCAUCACUGCCCAGACCUCCAGAUUUGUGGAGUGACGGUAGUAGCAGGUUACUUCUGGUAGGAAAUCGAAACCAUUCAGGACCAACGCCUGUCCGCUGGCGACAACGAAAAGCCGUUAUGGCGAGCGAUCGAUCCUGGUCUGGUUACAGUUAAGCGCGCCUCGGGUGUUAGGAUACCCCAUGCUAAAGUUUAGCACAUGUCACAUCGGAUGUUUGAUGCUAAUUAGGAGUAUUAAACAUAGGCUAAUUACAAAACUAAUUGCACAAAUAGAGUCUAAUUCAUAAGACGAAUCUAUUAAGCCUAAUUAGUCCAUGAUUUGACAAUGUAGUGCUACAGUAACUAUUUGCUAAUGAUGGAUUAAUUAGGUUUAAUAGAUUCAUCUCGCGAAAUAGCAUAGGGGUUUUGCAAUUAGUUUUAUAAUUAGUUCAUAUUUAGUCCUCCUAAUUAGCAUCCGAACAUCCGAUGUAACACUGCUAAAGUUUAGCAUCCAGUAUCAAACACCCGUCGUCGGUCUGACUGCUCCGAACGUUGUCGUUCCACCGGCCCCGAGAUCAUUCCCGGCUGCCUCGCAGCUGUGCGCGCGCUGGCGACCGCCUACCGGCCGCCAUGAUACGAGCCGCGCCGCGGACGUCAGGUUCGGCCGCUCGUCUCGUGGCGGCCGGUGGAGACUGGAGAGGUGACCUCGAGACAAACCAAUCCAGGAGGCCGCGGUGGUUGGCCACUCGCGAUCCGACCCGCGCGGGUCCCCCCGUGAAGUUCCCCCUUCGAGAUCGCGAGCCAAAAAUAUCGCAUCCCCGGCCGGCCGGCCCAGCUCCAACCUCCAACAGGAAGCAAAAAAAAAUCAACGGGCUUGUGGCGGUCGCGGUCUCGGGGAUCCGUCGGCCGGAGCGGCCGAACGAUCGCGUGUGGCGGCACGCCGCGCCGGGGACAUGAGGCGUCGGGCCGCGUGGAAGUGGAGGCGUGCGUGCUCAUAAAUGAGCACGCCUAGAAGCGGCCAGGAGUCCAGGACGGCGUGGUCGUCGUGUCACGGGCACUGCGCGCACGCCAGUGCCGUCCAUCACGUACCGUCGGCCGUGCGUUCUCUUUGCAGCGGCACGGUUUGGACACCGGAGGAAGUACGUGACAGGAUUUGGCAUGCGACCACUCGCACCGUACUUUGUAAAAAAGAUCAAGUAGCGUGGCGCAUUUCGGUUCCAGGCUUGGAUUACUCGCCGAGAUAGGCCGGGUGACAAGAUUAGGCUAGCUAGGGUAUGAAUGAGUGGUCGCAUUUUUCACUUUAUGGGUUUUUUAGAUCGCUUCCAGUUCAAAUUAUUCGUGAACCGAUCUAUGGACCGUCGAGAAGUUCAAACUGGAUUCCGAAGUAUUCGAAUCCAAAUCUCGGCGUGGCCGUGACCGUGACCAAACAGCCCAAGUGGGCGAGCUGCUGCUGCUGACCCGGCCGCGCAACCGCCUCCACAUGACCCAUCUCAUCUCAGGCUCUCCGCGGCUGGCACCCCACGUGCCGGCGCUGGCCUGACACCUUGGCGCAUGGGCGCGGCGCCCACCCGGCCAGCUCCGGUUGGGUACACCCGGUCCUUGCUUGACGGUGGAACAAAAACACGGCCGGCCCGGCAGCGUACGCGCUGCUGAUAAAAAGGCUAGCGACCGGGUAAAUUGUCGCGGCAUUUUGUCGGGUUAGACCGGCGCACCGUAGAUCGGUUCAUGGACCCCUGGUGACCUAGCGUCAUAGCUCGUCAUUUAGACAUAGGCAAAAGAAGAUCUUCAUAGAAGAAUGUGUUAGAAAAACGGAAAAACUCCAUCCUUAUUAGUCACUUGGGAAGCGUGCUACGACAAAUAAAAAAGAUGGCAAGCGACAGAUAAAAAGGGACGGAGAGAGUAUACGGUAACAGAGAUGCAUGCUGUUAUGUUUAUUUUACUACACUAUACCUAUCAAGAUCUUUAUAACAUUUUCGGAGUAAUAAAUGUAACCCUUAUUUUCUAGCUACCAGGUGACUCCUAAAUUUCGAACACAUAUUGUUAUAUUGUUGUACAAGGUUCAUUUUGCUCUUAUGAACCUACAUUGCAAAUUACAAUAGGGAUUUAUGUGUGAUUGUAUGACUUACGGACACAUGCACCAAAGAUUAUUCGAGCCAGUGAUGACCGAACUCACUUGGAUGAGAUGCAAGGGGAAAGAUGAAGUUAUGUUUUGGGGAUUACACCAAGUGUCGUUGUACGGACGAUGUAAACGGCUCCGUGCAGUUUUUUUUCUUUGGCACAAAGGCAUCAUUUUGUCAUAGAUAAAAUAAGUGUUUGUUUAAUUCAAGGGUAUGCAGCCUCAACAUUUACCUUGGUUCGUAAGGAUUUUGAUUCAGUUCCAUUCCUGUGAAUGCUUCUUUUUGUUCGAAAAAUUAAAAUGCAGAUAUCGUGCUUAGGAAGAAUACCGGACGGCUGGCAGUAACAAAUCAUACAGUAUUUGCCUUCUAUAAAGGCAGCUGGAGACUGUUCUCCGAAAUAAAUCAUAGCGGCUUAGGAGUGUUUGAUACGAGGCGCUAAACUUCAGCAGGUCAUAUCGGAUGUUUGGAUACUAAUUAUAAAGGUCAAACACGAGCUAAUUACAAAACUAAUUGCACAGAUGGAGUCUAAUUCGCAAGACGAAUCUAUUAAAGCUAAUUAAUCCAUCAUUAGCAAAUAGUUACUGUAGCACCACAUUACCAAAUUAUGAACUAAUUAGACUUAAUAGAUUCAUCUCACGAAUUAGACUCCAUCUGUACAAUUAGUUUUGUAAUUAGACUAUAUUUAAUAAUUUAUAAUUUGUAUUAAACAUGCCAUAUGACAGGUACGGGUAUCCAAACACCUCCUCUCCUUUCCUCUUGGUAUGUUUAGCAGUUACCCCUGGCGAAGCCGUUUCGUCGACGUGCCGUGGUUUAACGGACGGGACGGGGACGGCCGGCUCACGUGAACAACGCCCACGAGGCCGCGCUGGCUCUUGUAAAAGCAACCGCUCCCUCCCUAGACGCUAGUGCCUCUUUCCUCUCUCCUCCGCCCCUUUUUAUCGCCCGAUCUCACACAUUUUGGAAAGAGGAGAGAGAGAGAACGCCCAGCCAAACAGCCAAGGAAACAAACCGCGGCGAGAGGCGGAGGAGAGGGAGGAAGGAGGGCAGAGGACGAGCAAGAUGAGAGAGAUCAUCAGCAUCCACAUCGGCCAGGCCGGGAUCCAGGUCGGAAACGCCUGCUGGGAGCUCUACUGCCUGGAGCACGGCAUCGAGGCCGAUGGCACCAUGCCCAGGUGAGUGACGAUCUCGAUCCGCGAGUGCGUUGCUUUUGGUUCCCCAAAUUUUUUGCUGCGUGCAUCCGCCUCGCGAUCUAGGUUCUCGGCUUGGGCCGCCUCGAAAAUCUGGCGGUCUCGUUGCAUCUCCUCGUUGUUUCCUUCUUCUCGAGAAAUCCUUGCUUCGGCGGAGCCAACGAUGGGCGGGCGGGUGGGUAUGUUAGAUUGGAUGGUACUGUCAUGGCAGUUCCGUGUUCGUGUCUUCCUUUUCGUUCUACUUCUCGUUGCUCCUUGGCUCCUUGUAAUGGGUUUUUUUGGGUGGGAUAUGUUGCGCUUUGUUGGGCGUUGGUACAUUUCUUUGCCGGUUGUUGAGAGAUUCCCAGCACCGGACGAGAUGCGACAUUUCCUAAUUAAGAGUCUGCCCUAGCAUUUUCGGACUAUUAGGCCUUUAAUUUGGUGCGUUUGUUCUGUUCCUACUAAUUAGGCAGGCGUCACAGAGGGGAUGCGUUUGGCUUUUGUAUAGAGGAGCGCACGUUAACAUGUCGUGGGACAAAUUGGGUUUCCAACUCCGUAAGACGCAAGAUCUGAAGAGUUGAAUCUGUGGGGAUGCUCAAUAAAUACUGUAACUGGUUAGCUCUGGUGGAUGUCAGCCCAUGGAUCUCCCUAGAUUCAAAAUAUCUGGUCCAUUGUUAAAAGUGCUAUGCUUAUCUCAGUUUUGCGUAAUCUUGUAGCGCCAUAGAAAAUUGUGCUGAUGCUACUGAGAAUAGAAAUCAUGUUGGGGAUCCUGAGGAGGCAGGUUACGUAGGCUCUAAUUUAUCUUUUGGCGCAUAUGCCAAUGACUCUUGAUUACAUUAACUGAGUUAACUGAUUUAUAAGUUCUUACUGUGCGGUUUUUUUAACGCUGUAUUGUUUGAUUGUGAUGCAGUGAUACCUCGGUUGGCGUUGCACAUGAUGCCUUCAACACUUUCUUCAGCGAGACUGGUUCUGGCAAGCAUGUGCCGAGGGCCAUCUUUGUCGACCUUGAGCCCACUGUCAUUGAUGAGGUGCGCACUGGCUCAUACCGCCAGCUCUUCCACCCAGAGCAGCUCAUCUCCGGGAAGGAGGAUGCGGCUAACAACUUUGCCCGUGGCCACUACACCGGUAAUUCACAUUGUGCCUUUGUGAAUAUGUAAUAGGAGUGAGUCUUGUGCUUCUGCGACUGCGGAUAUGUUCGAUUCUAAUUAUGUUUGUGGAAUGCAGUCGGAAAGGAGAUUGUCGAUCUAUGCCUGGAUCGCGUGCGCAAGCUGGCAGACAAUUGCACUGGGCUGCAGGGAUUCUUGGUGUUCAAUGCUGUUGGUGGUGGUACUGGCUCUGGACUUGGUUCACUGCUGCUGGAGCGCCUCUCAGUUGAUUACGGCAAGAAGUCCAAGCUUGGGUUCACCAUUUAUCCUUCCCCACAGGUAUGGCCUUUCCAAGAGGAGGUUGACUUAAGUAUCUGAGAAAUUGAUAAAAUCAAGUAGGUCUUGAAUCUCUAUUGGGCAAUUUGCUUAGACUUGUAUAUAAUUAAUAUCCUUGCGAACCCAUGCUAAGAUAUGGAUCAUGUAACUUGGCAGCGCUGUUAUUGCCUUCUGAAUUGCACAGAUACACUGGUUAUUGGAUCAGCCUAGCAUUAAUUAAAUCAUGUGUGGACUAAACGAGCAACUGUUGUAGACUUCUGGAGUUCUGGUUAGUGAGGAUCUUCCUUUAUAUGGUUAAGACCAUGAUAGCACAACUGUCACAGGCUACAGGCUUUCUUUAUUAGUGUCCCUAUAAAUCAUGCACUGCACAUGAGCCAACAUUAUCCUAUAGUGCUUCUCCCUCCUGUCCAUUUGAUUGUGGGCCAUUUAGUUUGUUCAUGUGAGUCUGCAUCUUAGCUGUUGUGGGGGACAGUGGGUAGAGAUGUUGUUUAAUGAUUUUGGGUAUGGUCCAUCGUUUAACUUUUCAUCUAAUGCCACUCUGGAUUGCAGGUGUCAACAGCUGUCGUAGAGCCAUACAACAGUGUCCUCUCUACCCACUCCUUGCUUGAGCACACAGAUGUUGCAGUCCUCCUGGACAACGAGGCUAUCUAUGACAUAUGCCGGAGGUCCCUUGACAUUGAAAGGCCAACCUACACCAACUUGAACAGGCUGAUCUCACAGAUCAUAUCUUCGCUUACCACCUCCCUGAGGUUUGAUGGUGCUAUCAACGUGGAUGUUACUGAGUUCCAGACCAACCUUGUUCCAUACCCACGUAUCCAUUUCAUGCUUUCAUCAUAUGCCCCUGUAAUCUCUGCCGAGAAGGCCUACCAUGAGCAGCUCUCUGUGCCUGAAAUCACCAAUGCUGUCUUUGAGCCCUCAAGCAUGAUGGCCAAGUGUGACCCAAGGCAUGGGAAGUACAUGGCUUGCUGCUUGAUGUACCGUGGUGAUGUUGUUCCCAAGGAUGUCAAUGCUGCAGUUGCAACCAUCAAGACCAAGAGAACUGUCCAGUUUGUGGACUGGUAAGCUGUCUCCGUCACAAUUUUAGUUAGUUGCACUUAUUUGAUGAUGUCACAAGCACCUGUCCACUUGAUUGGCCAUGCUAACUAACCAAACUGUGGUGCCGCCAUACAGGUGCCCCACUGGGUUCAAGUGUGGUAUCAACUACCAGCCACCAUCUGUUGUCCCUGGAGGCGACCUGGCAAAGGUCCAGCGUGCAGUGUGCAUGAUCAGCAACAACACUGCCGUCGCCGAGGUGUUCUCACGCAUUGACCACAAGUUCGACCUGAUGUACGCCAAGCGCGCCUUCGUGCACUGGUACGUCGGUGAGGGUAUGGAGGAAGGCGAGUUCUCGGAGGCCCGUGAGGACUUGGCCGCGCUCGAGAAGGACUACGAGGAGGUCGGCGCAGAGGGCGCGGACGACGAAGGUGACGAUGGAGAAGACUAUUGAGUAGCUGGUUAAUAAGUAGUUCGCUGGUGGUUAAUGGUUGGGUUGUUGGGUAUACUCUGUAUGGUUCCAUUCCAUUGCGUACUGCUGCCGUGUGUGUUUCCAUUUUGUAUUAUGUGGUAUAAAUUGUUCGUAGCGCCUGGUUGGCCAUGAUUGUUCAUAUCGUCUUGCUUUGGUUUGCAAUGCUAUUCGAUGAAUUUCGGUGUAUAUCAGUAUAUGGCAUUCUGUUGCAAGUGUUCUGUGCUCUCAACCAUUGGGGAGGAGUUUGAUCUGCCCCGCGGCGUGUUGUCAGGUGGAUAUCAACCAAUGCAGGAUAUGGUUUGCAGGUUGCUCAUAGAUGCCUGAUGCUACGAUCACUGACCAUCAGUCACCAAUGCAUUUGAGGUGGGCAUGGUGUGUCUGAGCUGCUUGAGCCAUACGCUCAGGGUAUGAUGGCAUGUGGAGAUCGCCGUGCUCGUCUGGCACAUCCGGCAAGCGCUGGUCGCGCACAUUCCCCCGGUUUGUCCAGACUUGGUGUCGCGACUCGCGAUGCAAGAGGGAUGAUAGGUGAGACAGCUUGGAAAGUGUUUAGAUCUGUGCACGAGAGCCCCGCGACCUGGUGCCAGUCGAUGUGGGUUGGUUGGUUUGGCAUCUGGUAGGUUUGGUGGCCUCAUGACGCUUUAACUUGGGAUGUCUCGUUCAGGAUCUCAGAAUUAUGAUGUGUCGAAGAAGCGUAAGGCCGGGUAAAAGUUGGAACUCACCCGACGAGCGUGAGUGUGUGACCCUGGAGUUUCAUUAUCGAAAAAAUUAUCUGGCGGACUUCCUGACCCGCCAUGGAUUCAGGCCAGGUAGGCAGCAUCAUUGAAGUACUACCAUCUGGAGUAAGAGUCGGUAGGUUUUCUGCAGAUCAGCAGAUGUGCGUCCCAGUAGCUAUGACUCCACUGGAGCAGAAGCAAACUGAGCCCAACCCGGCAGCCCCAAGAAAAAAGGUUUGGGCUGGGAAAUUGGGUUGCCGGCAAGGCCUUGUUGCGUGACCAGACUCCGGCCCAAAGAGGUGGCAUUACAAUCACCUCCAAAUAACGUAGCUUAGCUGCUCUCCAAAACAAAAAUUAAAAAAAAAUAACGUAGCUUAGCUAGCUUGCUGACUGACGAUGCCAUGGUUACAAAAGAUGCCAUGGUUUGAUUUGAUGACAACAAUGGAGCCGUUGCCGAAGAUGGAUCCACUCGAGCAAGGGCACAGGCCGCCACUCAGUUUUUCUAAUUUCAAUGGGCAUAAAGCUUAUCUAGUAAAGUUAUAAAGGCACACAUUUUUUCCAACUAGAUCCGGCAGCUAUGGUGUCACGGAGGAAUUGCCACAAAGACGAACAUCCAAUGUGUUGGGGGUUGUCGGAUGGGAGAGAAUUUCCCGCAUAUUAUUGGAUGCAUGGACAGAAGUUCCCACCGUUGCGUGAGCGCUGACACUACGAAAACUGACACCGCCCAUGCAGCAACUUGCAUUGCGUUGGUUAGAGCAACUGUUCCGUUCGUUGCCAUUUUGUUCCCUCCUCCGGCAUGUUUAAACUAGCAAAGCAUAAGUAGCCAGGGGGGAUCAACUGCAUCUGCCGCCUGCCGAUAACACGGCCGAGUCACUCACAUGGAGGAGUUCUGAUGCUUUUGCCCACCCUGCUGAUUCCUGAUCCCUGAAUAUUAUCGCGUGUCCAGGAGUUCCGGGACCCAUUGCUCACCUGCUCCGCUAAAAAAAGUUGCAAAAAAAGAAAGAAAAAAUGGCUCUCCCCUCCUUGUCCUCGCAUUCCCGUUUGUUUCUGCCGCUGUCGCGAGCGCUCAGCACAAACUUUCUCUGCUCAGCUCUCGUGCAGGCUGGAGUUGAAGUGUUGAACCAUCGUCCGCGAGCUGCAACCGAGCCAAAAACCGGGAUCGAUGGGAUCGGACUCCGUUGGACGGGCUCGAUUGGAAGUGAAAGGUGAUUGGGGGGGGGGCCCGCGACGACAAAAGCUUGGUAAAUGUGCCGACACCUGGCAGCGCGGCGGCAUGUUUGGCUCAAAUUUGAGCGCUCCAACCCCAACAAGGCAGGCUCGGGCUUAUAUAACUUGGGCCCCAGAGAACGCGCCAUAACCUGCAUUGAUCGUGCACCAAUCCUCGAGGGAAGUUCGUUUAGCGAGUUCUUGGAUUUCCCCGUUGGAGGGACAUAUCCAAAUCUUAAUUUUUUUUACGGGAACGCCAGGGAAGGCCCUACCCGAUUUUUGUUAUAUAUAAAAAGGAAUAUGUACAGUUUACAAGGCUUCAGGCUCAAGGUAAAAAGAGAGAGUUCACAAGAGGCUACUCAGCCAAAUAUUAAUCUUCUGACUAAUGGAAGGUUUUGCCCUAAGGGUAACCUUUUCUAGCUCCGCUACAAAAACAAGCUCUCCAGCAGCUGAAUGAUAGAGUACCACCAUCAAAGAUUAUGCUGUUCCUGUGACACCAUAAGGCCCAUGACGCAAUUAUCACAAUCUCCCUAAAAAAUACUGGAUGCAAACCUCUCCCGUGCUCUGUCAAGAGGUUGGAGGCUGAGGUCCCAUUGAAUGUCCAAAUGUCCAAAUACAGCGAACAGGCCUGGCUGAAAAGGACAGUAAAAGAAUAAGUGACUGAUUGUCUCCUCUACAUUCCCAAUGCACAAAACACAGUUGUAGCUAUCCAAGUACAUGUUCCUUCCAUGUAGGAGGUUUCUGAUGUUAAGCUUAUCACGAAGGAGGAGCCAGAAGAAGAACUUGUGUUUGUUUUGAACCCUAGACUUCCACAUCUAUUUGAAGAGAGGGGAGGCCCGUAUAGAACCCUGGAGGCUUUUGUAAGCUGUUUUGCUUGUAAAGACUGCAGAUCCCCAAAUAUAAGUCCAGACAUCAUUUUGCAAAUCCCCCAUGUGCAAUUGGUCUAAAAGCUGCUGAAGUUCAGUCAGUUGGGCAGCAGCAAUCUGAGCUAUUGUCGGAGGCGAUAAACUUUCUCACCGAAAUAGAAUUUCUCUUUGAGAAAGAGGAAAGCUGCGGAAAUCUCCAUUUGAGCACACCUAAGUCUUAGAGAUCACUCCAGAAGGCAACUGAGUUUCCUUUCUGAGCAUUGCAAGUAGCUAUCAUGGAGAGGUUUUGCGCCAGAGAUAUGAUGUCCUUCCACCAAAAGGAUCCAACAUUCUGCCUUUCAAGGGGGAGUACCAUUCUUAUACAACCACUGCCAUGUGAGAUGCACCCAGGGUAUGUCCACUUUAUUAUAAAAUUUGUGAAGAAAUUUGAGGAGAAGCGUAGUGUUGUCAGUCCUUACUCCUUAGGUUGAUAAUGCCAAGACCACCAUCUUCUUUGCUCCUGCAAGCAUGCUCCAAGCCACCAAGCAACCACCCUUUUUGUCAGAUCACCACCAUUCCAGAGGACAUGUUUCUAGUACUUGUCAAUUUUGUCCAAGAUUUCCACAGGUAUCUUUAGAGCACACAUGUAGAAGGUGAGCAUAACUGAGUAUAUAGAAUUUACAAGAAUUAACCUACCAGCAUAAGAUAGCAUCCUUGAUGUACCCAUGAGGUGCUUUUCCAUACGUUCAAGGAUAGGCAUGAAAUCCACUACCGAGGUCCGAGUGGUUCCAAGAGGAAGACCGAGAUAAGUGAAGAGCAUGCUUCCAAGCUUACAACCUAAGGUUUCUGUUAACUCUGGCCAUUAUUUUGAUUCCUCCACAUUAAUGGGUACCAGGAUAGAUUUGUGGAAAUUUACCUUGAGACCAGUGGAAGUGGCAAACGUAUGAACUUUUUUGUAUAUAAGAUUCAAAUCUUAACUUUGAAAUACCAAUCUCAUUUGAUUAGUUUUGGACGAAAAAUUCAUACUACUUCGACCUUCUUUAGCAAGGCUCUACUUGGCUUUGGCUCCAGCUCUUUGCUACAGUGAUCGAUACUGUGCAACACCAUUUUGAGCUGUAGCGUGAAACCAAAACGCAAAACGAGGAGUAAAAUGGACUAAGGAGAAGAUAAAGUCGGUGAAGCAAGUUUAUUGGACUUCACCGGCUUCAUGCUACAGUGAUGAACAAUACAUGAAAAGUGCUAGAGCUGUAACCGAAGCCACGCCAAAUGCACCCUUAGAAUCUUAGCGUACAGGUAAUCUGACGAGAAACUGAUCCCUCGUCUACAGCCACAAGGCAAUCAGCUAAAUGCCUGUGAAAAUUGGCAAGUUUUGAGCAACACAUAUCCAUUGAAAUGGGAUAGAAAUUGAAAUAUAAACUCCAUUCCGCUUAUAUACCAGUGAUGACUGACGACUACCUCUUCUCCACACUCCAUUUUUAUGUACUUAAAAAAAUUGAAUGGAGGUUCUUCAAAAAGAAAUUGAAAUGCAGAAAAGAAUUUGAAUGAAGAAGUCUCAGACGAAAAUUUCUUUUUUUUUAGACGAAAAGUUUCUGCUACUGAAAAUCUUCAGCAAAUUCGAGUGCCGGAAAUUUGCGCAAGAUUUGAGCAACACUGGCGAUCUAAUCGACCGUCCUGAUCAAAUGUUCGUGGAAAAGGGAAGAAAUAAAAAUUUCUUCACCUAGAGAUAUUAGAUCCAGAGGAUCGAACUACACCGAAUUUAUCUCCACAAAGGGUACACCAAAAGAAUUGAAUUCCGAGAUCAGGUGCCAUUAUGCAGCUCAAGAAGAGAUACUACAUCCUGAAAAUUGGAAUGCACAAUGACUUGCUUUGCCACACGGCAAAAUUCGAAGCAUUUUCGCACAAAAAUGCAUCCACUGGCUACAACGAGUAGGAUCCUCGAUCUUCGUCUUCCUCUUUACACCGCGCACGCACACAUACACCUGACACCUGUUACUUCCCCGACAAUGGCCAACAUCCAGGAGGCGAAAGAGCAAGAACGACGACGCACGCACGCAGUUGAGGUGAGGCUAGCUACUAGCUCAGUGGCAGAGCGGCGAGAGAUCCCAGAGCGGGUCGCAGGCGGAGGCGUCGAGCACCCGGUCGAAAUACUCCUGCAGGCCGUUCAUGGCGUACAGCGACGCCGAGAUGCGCCGCUCCACCUUGAUCCGCUCGAACUCCGCCAUUUCGCCCGGCGCCGCGGUGGCGACCGGCUCCUCUUCCACGGGUGCGGCUGGGACGGCGGUGUCGACAGCGGCGAAGCUGUCCAGAGCCGGGAACUGGCCGAACGCCGAGUCGAACAUCCAAGAAUCGAACUCUUCGGCGCCCACGGCGGCGAACUCCGGCCGGUACACCUCACUGGCGUCCAGCGCGCCGCCGCCGCCAUUUAGCACGGCGUCGUCGCAGCUGACUGCGCUGCUGGAGCUGCUGCUGCUGCUGCUAGAGCCACCACAAGCACUAUUCGUGCUAUUACUAUUAUUAUUGCUAUUGCUAUUGCUAUUGCUAUUGCUAUUGCUCGUGGUGGGAGCAGGGGAGAUCGCCGCCUUCUUCUUCGAGAUGGCGGCGGCGGCGGCCGAGGAGGAGCUCGCCGCGGCGGCCUUGGCCUUCUUGACCUUCUUGUGGUGGAGGAGGCCGCGGAUGCGGACGGCGAGCGGGCAGUCCGGGGAGAUGCGGGGCGCGAAGUUGGUGCGGGCUUCGUUGCCGCGGAGGAGGCGGGCGGCCUCGUCGUAGGCCUUGGCGGCGGCCUCGGCGGUCUCGAAGGUGCCGAGCCACAUGCGGAUCUUCUGCGUGGUGUCCUUGAUCUCGGCCACCCACCGCCCCGACGGCCGCUGCCGGACGCCGACGAACUUGCUGUGGUUGUUGCUGCCCUUCUUCCGGCCCCGCGGCUUGGACGGCUUGGCCUGCGCCGCCGCCUCCUGCUGGUAGUAGUAGUAGUAGUAGCUGCUGUAAUCCUCGAGCUGGAACCCUGAUGACUGUGGCUGGAAGUGGAGCUCCAUUGGAGGCUUUCUUGGUGUUCGAGCUGAUGGUUGGAGUGGUUGGAGGGGAGAGGAGGAAGACAGGUGUCGAUCUGCCGGGUGCUUGCUCUGCUUUGGUUUUGGUGGUGAGCAGCUGAGCACAAGGGGAGAGGAUUUAUAGAGGAUUUCAGGUCACUUGGCAAUGGAGCCCUGUGGGGUUACUGUCAUGGGCUGGUCAAAUGCUGGUCUGCCUAUGAUCAUGUGAAGUGAGUGUUUGGGGGAUAAGGCAUCUUGUUGGGUUCUUUUUGUCCUUUCAGUUUGUUUUUCGGCUUUGCCCUUAUGCAUUGUCACUGAGCAAACAAAGCUAAGCUGGUGUUCUUUCCAUGAUUAUUUUUUUUAACUAAGUUUGUGCUAUUGCUGGAUCAACAAAUCGGUGAGCUUGCAGCCUUAGUGCAUCACCACUCACCACUAUUUGACCUUUUGGCAUUUUCUUUCAUUACUAUAUAUCAUAAGAAAGAUAAUCAUUUUACUUUUGACUCAGUACAGUGGAAAUUCCUUUUUCAAUGUCUCAAAGGGUUCAUGCCUGCAGGCUGCAGGCAGCAAGCACACUAGAGUUCAGCAAGUACAUGCUCCCCACUACAAUGCCAAGCACCGAGUAAAACUUGGAAGCAGGGGUCAGAGGGUCUACUUCAUCUAGUAACUUAAAUUACCAUGUCUACACCUGCAUGCAUUACCUUAACCGAAAUUUUUAGGACACUGAUUGGACUAGUUCUUCCAUAAUUCGCGGUUAUCCCUCUGGUCAAGCUACUUACAUGAGACCGGGUCCGAAUUGCACCAUAACCCGCCACAUGGCAGCAUUAGAGAGAAUGGCGACGAGCAAUUAGGAUACAAAGUAGAAACGGCUAAACAUCACCUUUUCAUCGACCACGCCCACUUGUGCUUUGUUUAUCUUGUUUCUUGACAAAAGCUGCUAUCAACCAAGUCUUUCUCGUCACUGGAUGAUGUACUCGUCCUUAGCUAGUUCAAUUUUGGGCGCCCAUGAGUUUUUGAAAGAAUCUUUGCACAGAUAGCAUAUGAAUAUCAUACAAAACAGCAGCCCGAAUUGUUUUCCGCAGUAAUAAAAUGCUUACUACCAAGCAUUAGUACUUGAACACAUCACAAAGAAAGUGUUACUUUGACAUGGACACGAGUGCCGGAAUCCGACUUCCGACUAGGGUUCGAUUCUUCGACUAGGAAAAACUUUAUUGAAAAUAGAUAAUAGUUAUUGUCUCUUCGGAGACGUCCAACAAAAUUACCGGGCGUAUGAAUGAGUACCGGAGUCCAACUCGGAUUUGUGAAUUGGCAUGGGAGUUGAGUAACACACACAAGAUUCUAGAUCCAGAUAUAUGAUAGCAGUUUUUCACUUUUUUGGAAGUUCCCUUUGACAUGGAAGUUGAGCUAACAGUUGACCACCCGUUCAGGCCUUCUUUUUGCAGAAUGAGCACUUGAGGAGUUCAAGGUAACAAUACGUCAAUAACUGGAGUGUUAGCGUUAUGAUUUUUACACUAGGAGACAAAUCUAAACCCUGAAGCAUCUUUGCUUUACCUUUGAGAAUAGCAACAAUUCUCUAGCCGGUUGAAACUGAAGCAAGCAUGAUGGCAAAGGCUUUCUUGAUCUCUCGGAACUAAAGAGACGGCACUGCUAGUUUAAUGAAACAGGUCUUCUCUUUGCAUACCACAAUGUACUGUUAGGAUUAACAAAGCUACAUUCCUUGGUAAGCAACGGGCAUAUUUUCCCUUCAUAACUUGAGAAAAGGUCAUCGUCAUGACUCAUGAACACGGACCCCUUCAACUCCAAAGGCUUGCCUACCUCACCUAUCAAAAAGGCAAACUUUGUCAAAUUGUGGCGCGUCAUUCCACCAAAUAAACUAUGUUCAGCUUGCUGAUUGAGCAAUAGGAUAGAGCACCCACAUUGGCCAUAGUUUUAUAGUCAGGAUGACUCCAAGAAGGCUAUGGCUCGUAACCUCUUGUUUCGUAGCAUGGCAGAUGCCCUGUUUGUCGCUGUCAAGGUGCAUUUCUUUGUCGAGCUCGGUGGGGCUACCUGCGCCAACAUGACAAGAGACCACUUUUUGGGCAGCAGCAAGGUCAAGAAAGAUGGCAUCUUGGCAUCGGUCCCGGGGGUUGGUUUCAGAUUUGUCUUUGUGUGAUGGAGCCGCCAUGGAGCAGGAGGAGAUGGACAUAUUCCAGCCGUGUUUUGGGAGGUAACCCUCUCGCGACCAAUUCUAGCUCAUUGCUGACGUCAAAACUUUUCGCAGCGAAGAUUAUCUGAAAGCUACCUUUGGAAUUUUUUGCCAUUGGUUCCUUUACGGUGACGAAUGCACCUGCUAUGUGGUUGUGUACUUCUAUUGAUUUGUUGAGAAGAAAACCCAAACAAGGACUAUCUGGCUAUAGGGAGCUGGGACGAUAAACAAAAGCAGCAUCGUAAUGCAUGCUCCUUCAAAUCUAGAAAGAACAUGAUACGGCUGCAUAUAUCUAAAACGAUUUCGGUUGGGGCUGCCAUUUCCAGCUCCCCAGCCGUCGGGAAUCUUCAAUUCCGCCGCAGAUUUCUCGAUGCCACUCGUAUGAAGACAAGGCCGCCAUGCACAUGUGCGGGCAUAUCAACGUUCAACGGAUAGAAUCGUGAAGUUAUUUUUCUUUCAACACAUGUUAAGGUAGCAAAUUUCAGAAGCCACACAAAAGGUAAAGCCACGUUCGAACUAUCAUCUGUUCGUAGUGGCUUUUUAACUCGAUGCCAUGCUCGACGGCUUUAACACAAGCUGGUAAACGUUUCGUUUUUCUCAAUUACUAACCACGGAGCAUGCACAACUUCAGCAUUUCCAAACUGGGCAUAUCUCAAAAGUUUGCAAGAAAAAAUUGGCAAAUAAAAUGACUACAAUUAACGGGCAUCAAAGCGAUGCAGAAGGCAAUCUCACUCAAAGUACAAUGAUCUCAUUACCAAAACUGAUGCAGCAUAGGUCCAACCCAACCGACAACAAACCUCACCAUUUCCCUUACACCUCUGUUGCCAGCACGUCUCAAAACCAUAUUUUGAGUACAUGACAAUAUACACUCUACAUCAAAACCAUGUAUGCAACUUCCAAUUCCUCCAAGCGACCGAUGCAUUCACAAAUUACCCCACCCAGAAAAAGAUUCAACACAAAAGAAUUGCCUGACAGUAACAAUGAUGAAAUAUCAAGAAGAAGAAAAAAUGCAGCCCGGACCUUGCAGCGGCAAAAAACAACUAUGUCGAUAAGAUGGACUGUAGCAGGAGCUGCUGCUGCGGUUGCAAGUUGGAAAAUGUUGACGCGAGAAAAUCUGGAGGUAAAGUCUGCUGGAAUCGCCUCAAGAUAUUGACCAUCUUGUUUUUUGUUUCAUCUGUAGCAAGCUCUGUCCCAGGGCACAAAACCUGCAGAUUGUACAAGGACAAUCAAUGAGUUCAUCCAUAACAGUUAAGUCAAACAUAGUUAUCGCUACAAAUUUACAACCCUACCAAAUUAGAGUACACAUAAAAAAAUUACCUCUGCAAAUAUUGAAAUAAUUUUCAGAAGAUACUGAUUCUGAGGGCCAAGAAUUUCUCCAUCCGACCUGCAAGCAGAAAUGGUUAUUAUAAACCGCAAAUGGGAUCCACCUUAGUUGGCAGAUUUCCAGUCAAGAACAUACCUCUCCACCAUUGAGCAAAGUUGCUCAUGUACAACUUUAGCUUCAAUCUUAUCAUCUUUUAUAGGCAAGCAACUAAGCCAUGCUGGAAUAACCUGAGAAGACUGUAUAGGUCAGUUUCGAAAAGUAUCAUCCACAAGCACAAAUAACUAUCCCCUGGCAAAGCUACAAGUGCAAAAUUAGGCUUCAGACACCACGCAGUACAGUUAGAAGCUGAGAGGUGUUCAGUUUGAGGAAUGGGUGGUCCAUCAGACCAUAACCUUCUCACUCCUCACAUUUUUGUUUGGUUUGGGAAAUAGGAUGAGUUGAUCCAUCACCACCUCAUCCCAACAAGCACAUGGUUAACUUAAUAAUGAAGAAUUGGCUUAACCCACCAAAAUUCAUGGGAUGACUCCAUAGACCAUUCCAUCCUAGACGAGGAGACUCCUCAAACCAAACACCCUAUUAGGGUUUCAGUGUGUCCCUUGCUCCUCACUCUCAGUGUCCACGCUCUCAGUCUCAGUGCGGUGAGAAGAAAGGAGAAAAAGGGUUGACCCUUUUCAGGAAUGAAAGAGUUACAAUCAGCACCGUCUUAAGAUUUUCAAUUCCAGAUUUCAGGCUUCACGCUGCUAAGCCAGCCUAGUACUGUGCCUCAGCCUCCAAGAGCAGGUACACCUUCCUAUUACCCCCCCUCCUUCCCACAUGAACUACUGCCUACGGCACACCGAGCAAUUUCUGGAAACAUGCCGUCACAAUCGGUAGGCAAUAGAUACAACCUCCAAAUAUUCAUCCAUUACCAACAACUAAGCCCUUGUCUCUAGCAAGUUGGGGUAAGCACAUAACAAGAAAAUGUUGGCCAUAUCAUCAGAGGAAAAAAAAGACAUUGAGAAUAGAGCAUAUACCUGGGCCGCGUCAAUGCCAUCCCGAUGAAAUUGACAUAUUUUUCCAAGUGCCGAAACAGCAUUGUCAUAGGCCAUAAUAUUGUCUGGAAGUCGUGCUUCAGGAUGUCGGAUAACAUUGUUUAACUUUGAUAGGGCCUCUGAAUUCAGAAGCAUAACAUGGUUGGAUUAGUUGUAGAAUGUUGAAAAAAAAGCAAAACAUGUAAAUACUGGAAAUAUAAAGAAACUACCUCCAACUAGAGGGCGAAAAACAUGACCACCAAACUCAGCACAUACACCCACACCAUAGACAGCAGCCUAAAUGAAGAGGUCCAGCAUUAUAUCAGUGUCCAAUGAGACCGAGUAAAACGGGAGAAUGGGUCAAGGGAACAUGAUAGAACAAAAAACAGACCUGCCGGACAUCUGAAUUUUCAUCGUUUGCUGCCUCCAAAAGGAAAGGAAGGUAUGUAUCAUAAUACCUCAAAGCUGAUUCACGGCAUUGCUCCGCAACAUCAUCAAAGAUACAGAUAGCUAUCCUUCUCUCCUCGGGUGUUUUAUCUUUUCCCUGCGAAUCAAAACAUAGGGUACCAAAAUAAGUAGGAAUAAAACAUCAAACUGAAAAAAAAGGUUGGAGCAUAACACUGCACAACAGGAAUAAGCAUGAAAAAACAUGCCAAUAACUAAUGAGAAGAAACCCAUUCGAUUCAUGUACAUAAACUAGCAUGCAGUAACUGAAUGCUCAAUAAAUAACAAUAGAGAGCUCACACAAAUAAACAAUCAGGUCAGGGUUCAGUUAGCUUACCAACAUUGGCGUAAUGUACACAGAGAGCUCAUCAAAGAACGGCAAGAAAGAAGCUUUGAAGGUUUUAAUCAAAGUACCAAGGCACUCGCUGACCUGAAAGUUUAAAUAUGUUAAAAGAAAAUUAAUAGGUAAAUCAUUUAACAUAACAUGCCAAAGACAGUUUUCUCAGUAUGACAAAACAGAUAAAACUUCAAAUCAUUUCAAAACAAACAAACCUGAUCAAAUACUUCCUCCUCCUGUUCAUUCUCUUCUUUGAGUAGCUCUCCUUCAUCAGCAUCAAAAUCUUCCGCUUUUGUUCUUUCUGUACGUUCCCUUUUCCUGGUUGCGCUGGCUAUAAUGACAUUUUUAAUCUCAUCCGAAAUAGCUCGUACUUGGGUUUCAUCGAGCAAACGACCAGAAAGCUGCUCAUGAGUAAGAUCAAUGGAAAAUUGAGUCAUAAAUAAACCAUUCAAGAAAAUAGAAUAUUUAAAAACCCAUGCGAAGAGAAACCAACAGAACUAUAACACAUAUUCUUUCACCCACUGAACAUAGUGAAAUGAUCCCUUUCUUGUCUUUUUGUGGUUAUAAAGUGAUAAUCACGGGCAAGCACAUGUUCACAUAUGCAGAUGCACAGAUUUCAGAAUUGUAAAAGGAGCAAAUCUGCGAGCACAACUUUCAGAUAAAAUCUGCGUGCACUUUAUAAGUUUCAUUCUAACUAGACAACUUUCAGAUAAAAUAUGCUAAGAUAUACUUAUUUGAUAACAUAGGGGUAGGUUAGGAAAAAAAGGUGAGGUCCUAAAUAUACAAGUGAAGCUUUAGGAAGAAUCUCAAUCAUGGAUUCAAAUUAUGAAGCAUAGAUGGUGUAAAUGCACAAACCUGCAUGCACUCAUUUAAUGAGUCCAGCAUGGAUGAGCACAUUUCUGUUUCUGGCUCCUGCACAAAGGACGCAAAAAGUUCAGGUGUCAGCAUGGGUAAAAGAAAUAAUAAUUCAACUACUGAGAUAUCUUUAAAUAGACCUUGUGAAGUGCUUCAACAAGAGCUGGAAUUACGUAGUCAGACAACUGUUUAACAUAAGACUCGUCACGGCCUUGAGCCUGUCCUUUCUCAACAGCCAACUUUGCCGAACGUAAGAGUUCCGGCAUUGCUGCACAGAUGUUCAGAAUUGUAAAAGGAACAAAUCUGCAAGCACAAAUAAAUCAUAGUGUAACAUGAAAAUACCCGCAACAGCAGCUCUUCUGACUUCUUCAUGGAAGUAAAACUUCAGCAGAGGGACCAACGUGGGGGCAACCUACACGUAAAUUUGUAUCCAAUGAUAUAUGCUGGAAAGGGGCAGCUGAAACUUGAAAGAAUUAGAUAUUGGAUAUGUUUAGUGCAAUAAUGAACCUGAUCAAUCCAUGGGAAGAAACCCUCCUUAAGCUCAUCAGCAUAACAGCACAGCAUGUUGCAAGCUGUUGCUUUCUCUUCCAGCACACUAGUUCGGAUUCCUAUUCUCUUGUCACCAAGUGUGAUUGUUUCAAUGCUGUAUAAAACACAAAUUAAGGGUAAGGGUAAGUGUAAAAAAAAUCAUACAAAGUUAAAAGUAGGAUGCUCUCCUUGUGUCAGCAGAAAGGUGAAUGAAUAGCAAAAGCUUGGCAUCAUCAAUGAAAAAAACCAAAACACAUGAAAAAACUCCAUAAAUGACAGUGUAAAUGUUCUACCGACUAUAGGCACAGUAAAUCUAAAAGCUUGUGUACGGUUCAUAUCAUUUCAUACUGCAAAUAAGUUUAAAAUUAGAAUGCUAAACUGAUGAUUUUGCAGCUUAAAACGAAUUUCUUCUAAAUUUUCUCCUUUGUACAUUCUCCUGGAUACUUCAGAUACGGGCAUAUAAAAAGUCAUUUAAACAAAAAAUUGUACAUUCUCCAGGAUACUUCAGAUACGGGCAUAUAAAAAGUCAUUUAAACAAAAAGACAAGCAUCAACCAUGGAAUUAAAAAGAUUCCAUAUUUGCAACUGUACAAGAGCGAGAAAGGUAUAGAUAUUUCUAAGUGGAAAUAGUCCAACAUAGUUGUCAGGUUUGCUAACCUAAAUCUCUAAUAAAGUAGAUAAAACAUUGCAACAGAAUGAUAACAGACCUAUCGUCAUCUGAUUCUAUUUCGUCAUCUGAUUCGGCUGAAGUAAUUGUCACAUCGGGCUUCAGCUGAGCAGACUGAAGCAAUGGUGGCAUAACAACACUCAUGUAAGGAAGGAAAUCCUGCCCAAGACAUUUGCAUAGCCUGGCCCAAGCCUAUCACAUGUGGUGGUAAGUGUUAGAUAUAUAUUUGAAGUGUUGUUAAGCCUAGUUUCAGAUGCUUUGAAACAUACCUGCAACAUGUAGCUGGUAAUUGGAUCAUCAGUUUCCAUUGGUGUUCCUUGCAAAGCCAUAAGUACUUCCAUAACCUAGUAAAGGGCAGAUGAUUAGAAUAAUAACACUUCCUCAAUUAAAUAAAAUAUUACAGCUGAUUGCACAUUUAGACUUAAAAGUGCAAGAAGAAGAAAUGACAGCCAUAAAUAAUGAUUUUAAUAAACAGAAAUAGACAUAAUUUUUCUGAAUUCCGAUAAAUUAGCAGGAAAAGCUUGAACAGUGAAACGGUUCAAGAAUACGAACAGUGGUUACAGAUCAAUCACAAAUUAUUUGCAACAAAAUAGAAGUACAUAAUUUGCAAGCUGGAACAUAACAUUACAAGUGAAAGAAAAGGCUAACCUGCCUCGCGUCGUCUCUGAACUUGUCCUUACCCACAGCCAUUCCUACCAAACUAAUACACUCCAUGGACUUGGCACGGAGCAUCCUAUUAGACUUGUCAGUUGCAUUCAUCAAAAUAGCUUUUAGGUAUGGCAUGACAGCAUCAUAGUAUUUCUUGAAGUGCUCCUGCAAGGCAAACAAACAAAAAGUUAUCAUAAUGCUAUCAGCUUGUUAUCAACAGCAGGCAAGACAGCACUAAAACAAUUUGUUAUAAUUGGUCAGCUAUAAAAAAGUUAGUCAAAUGCUAUAAAUUUGUUAAUAGGUGCUUCUGCCACUCAGGAGCAGACAAAUAAAAAGUUUAGUCAAAUGCUAUAAAAUUGUUAUCAUUACCAAGCUAUACAGCACUAAAACAAUGAGACAACCCCAUGAUACAUGUGAUACAUGACGACAGAAAUCCAUUAUGCACAUAACAAAAAAAAAUGUAUCUAUGCACUCCCAGGCGAACAGUUACCUGUGAUGAAUCUGCCACUGAAGCUAGGGCUGUCAAUGCUCCCUCUUGCACCAUUUGCUUGCCAUUCUAGAAAUAACAUGAGAAGUUAGCAUGUUUACUACCCAGAAUAACGAAUAUGCACAAAGCAAAACUGAAAUGUAAAUCAAUACAAGUAAACAUAUACCUGAAGAAGGACAAGUAAUUUGUUGACGAUUCCAUCCAGGUAAGGUGUCAAAAUUUCCGGUGUACAGUUCUCACUGAAGUUCAGGAUCGCAGAUGCAGCAUGUGCCUGUCAACAAGAAGAUUCAUACAGGAAGUCAAUAUAGGUUGCUUUUUCCUAAGAUGCAUGACAUAAUAGAUGCACAUGACUUCUGAUUGAGAAUAGAGACAUAAAGAGUUGCGUAGACUUAGCAUCUCAAUAAACGCAAAACACUUCAACAGCGUUCAAUUCAAGAGUCUUAGUUUUCAAAAAGAAAUGAUAAAAAAGUCAAAGUUAAUCAAGCAUCUACAAAAUGCUACCUUCUAGUAACAUUUACUUGUAAUGGUGAUGAUGGACUUACUAACUUGCCAGGUGAUUAAAUUACUAUUUAUUAAAGAAAAUUAUUAGCUUGAAGCUAAAUAGAACUUCGUUUUUAGACAUUCAUGUGUUAACUGCCCACAACUAUUUACAAAGUUUUGUUUCAGUAUGCACGAACAAUAACUUUCUUGAUCCACAUCAAGCCAAUUGAUGCAACAUUAAUUCUAGAAUAAGCAUUAACAAGUUGAAGAUAUGAGAUCAAGUUUUGCUAAAAUAAUAGAACUAACCUGAACUCGUGGGUUCUGGAAAUCAUCCAUAGCGUUCGCCAAUGCAGGCAACACUUUCUGGUGGUAAUGAACUUGCAAGUCUGGGCCCAAAUCCGUAGAGAGCUGACCAAUGGCAUUGAUUGCAGCCCAUCUCACACGUGGGUGAGGAUGUUGGAACCCAUUCAAUAUCAUCGAGACAACUUGUUCCAAAUUUUUAAGCAUAACCUGCCAGCAAAAACAGCAACCAAUGAUAAGAUGGCCUUGUCCAGCUAUUUUCCUAAACAUGAAAUCGAGAACAGAUAGCAUAAUGUGGUUUAAUAGUAGCCAACAGCUCUUAUAGAUUUGGCAAUUUAGUAUUUGUCACCGCUUCUACAUGUAGUGUUCAUUAUCCCAUUUUCCCAAUUCCUAAUUCAACAUGUCAGCUCAAGAAAUCCAUUUUACCUAUCCAAAACAGCAACAAUAAAUAUCUUUUGAGUUGAACAACAGAUUGCUGUAUACUAGCCAUACUUAUAAAGUUAUCAUGCUAACCUUUGCACAUCCUUCCGCAAUCUGUGCGAGUGUUAUGAGCGCAGCAUGGUGCUUCUGCCACUCAGGAGCAGACAGGUACUGUGGAAGCAGCUCAGAUGCAAUUGGCACAAUUGCAUUUCCACCAAUGGCGAUGGCAAGGCGGUCAAGGCACUCCUGUGCCACUCCAUAGUUGUUCCCUUCACCUGCAUCCUCAUCUUCGGUUUCAGCAGAGUGCCAAGCAGGGUCAUCCUCGACAUCAAGCAGCAUCUGCAUUAGCACUGCAAACAGCCUGCCGACAAACUGCGGGAGUCGACGCAUCAUUCCCGGUGCACGCUCCCUUGCCUCAGCAAGAGUAAUGACAAACUCAACCGCCAAGUGCCUGGUCCCAUCUUCCAGCUGUGCAGCCUCAGCAACUUGUAGCAUUGCUCCCACCACGUCCGCAAUCUGCCUCCGUAGGAACCUUGGCUCUGCGCCAGCCAGCUCAACGAGCAGCUCCAGCGCCUCCUGCGCCGAGGCCUCCUGGCCAGAGUUCAGGCAAUCCGUGAGCGCCCUCAUCAUAGCCGGGAGCAAAUCCUGCAUCUUAUCCCGAUCGGCGUUGGUUGGCAGGCACUGGACGAGGUUGACUGCGGCACCCAGGGCCGCAAUACGCACAUCAGGGGAUGUGGGGUGCGCCAGAGCGGCGGCGAGCAGGUUGUGGAUAGUCAUCAGAUGGUCGAGGAGCGAUUCAGCGAUGUAAUCCGCCAGCCUCGCGAAGAUAAGCAGCGCCGACUCCUGAAGGUUGGGCGCCUCGGGCCCCGACGCGGCGCGGAAGAGGAAGGGCAGCAGCUCGGCCCAGGCGUUCUCGGGCAGCAGCGAGGCAGCGAGCUCGGAGAUGGCAUCGCAGACCUUCUUGGCGAUGGGCUUGGGGGGAUCGGACUGGAGCGCGGAGAGGAGGUGCGCCUUGAGCGCGGACUGGCCGGCGAGGGAGAGCUGCGGCCAGAGCGGCGCCGGGGGCGAGGCGUUGUUGGCGGACGCGUCGGAGGACGGGGUCGGGGAGAGGACCUUGCGGAGCAGGACCCCCGCCAUGGCGCGGAGGUCGGCGGCGGUGGCGGGCGACGCGAGCGAUGAGGCGAGCCGCAGCGCGAGGGGCUCCGGGUGGGAGGCCCGGAGGCGGUGGAAGGCGGCCUCGGCGGCGGAGCGGUCGGUGUUGGAGGACGACAUGAGGGUCGACAGCAGCCCGUCGAACGCCGCCGGGUCGCCCCCCAGCAGCGCGGCGGCCGCGGCCUGGUCCUCGGCGGACGCCAUCGGAUCGGGGUCGAAUCCGGGGCGCGCGGCGGCGGCUAGGGUUUGAGGGGGGAUAGGGGUCGAGCCGGUGGUGGCGGCGGCGGCGGGAAGGGGAGGAGGGUGGUGGAGAGAGAAUUAGAGACACGGCCUCGGGUUGGGUUUAAUAUUAUAUGGGUAGGGUUUGGGAGAUGCGUGCGGCUCGCUCGUCGCGGGCGGGCGCGGCGGGGAGAGGCCAGGCGACCUGGUGGCUGGUGCGUUUGGGGUGGGUGACUGGGUGGGGCAACCGCCGCGACGCGAGAUGAGAACGAGACGAGAGCAGCGCGCUCGCCGUGUGGUUUGGUUGCAGGCCGCCGGGGUCGGGUCCGGCUUGGCGGGGUUCGGGCACCGCACGACGGUUUCGCGGGAUUCCCUUGUCCCCGUCAGCUUUUCCAUCGUCCCCCGUGGAUUUUCGCAUCGACUCGCCGAUUUCUGCGUCCGCCGAAACCGACCGCUCGGCUCGUCUCGGUUCGGCACCCGCUCGUGCCCCUAUGGCAUCCGCCGCUUCGCCGAUGCUUCCUUUUCCCUGCCGCGCCGCGUCUUUUCGGCGAGCGGGCACGGGGGGUUCUGGGUUUUACAGCUGGGGGGUGUGAGCUGGGCGCGUGGAUGGAAUGGAUGGACAGGAGAAGGUGGUGACGCCCAUGGAGGGCCAUGAUUGGGCAUUGAUGGGUACAGGCAGCCGGCCGGGCGCCAUCUUCCCCGCGUCAUCAUUGAUGCACGGCUCAGGGGAACAGCAGCGGCCCAACAGGGCUCGUGCAAGCUGCUGGCAAUCUUGUGGGUUGACUGAUUUCCGGUACGAAGAGUGGGAAUGUUUUGGUUAGCUAUCAAUGGUGUGUAGCACGUAGUACAAUAGUUACGUGUGCAUCACCGUAUCAAUGCAAAACAAGUGGUGAACAUACGGUGAUUGAGAUCCCGUGUGUUCAUUCCCAGGGAUUAUGAUUUCGUUUUUUGAAUUUUUUCGGUCCUCAAUAAAAACACCAAAUUUCACGAAUUCCAGCUGAAAUUUGGACUAAAAAGGUAAAUCUUUCAACGAAGAGAACAAAAUUCCGGGCAAACAGUUAUUUCAGUCACCAUCGAAAAGACCAAAAUUUCACGAAUUUCAACCGAAAAUUCACGAAUUUCGAUCGAAAAUCUACGAAUUUCAACCAAAAUUUUGAACCAUGUUCAUUCCAUUCCUUUUCGAUAGAGGUGUUGUUUGCUCCAUAAAUUGCGACGCAAAAGCAAGCAUACCCCGUAAAAGUUAUUAAAGUAAUGAGAAUUUGGCAUGACGUCAACAAAGUAACGAGAAACUGACGUAACAUUAAGCCGUUUACAAAAUAACGGAAACCGACAUGGCGUUAUGCUUUUAACGAAGCAGACAGAAACCGACGUAGCGUUAAACCGUUAACAAACAAACAGAAAAACUGGCAUGGCGUUAUGUCGUUAGCAAAGUAACAAGAAACUGACAUUGCGUUAGGCCACCGACAUUGUUCGGUUCCCAAGAAUAACGGAAAUGGAAAGUGGGAAGCUUCCACUAAAGGAGAAGACGACACAUAGAAAGAGGAAGGUUGUUGUACGCAGUGGAGCUGCAUCUUCUGACGUGUCGUAGCUAUCGUCAUCGACGGCUAUCACGCAUUAUGUAUCACUUCUGCUUUGGCGGUAUCAUUUAGCAUCCGUGGUAAUCUGUAGAAUGUAAGUUCCGUCAAACUACCACCAAGCAAAUUACACAUGCUACCCUCAAGGUAAACCAACUUGCCCUCUUUAGCCUCCUCGUAGCCUCGAUGAGUUCCAUUUCCCUAUUGCAUGCGGAUGCUGGUAAGCAUCACACAUCAUAACUACAAAAGCUUUCUAUGAAACCUAAUUCACCGGCGCCACGUUCUUGCACUAGUUGAAUAUUUCAUAUUAAGAUCGCAAGAUAUACAUUGGCUUGGAGGGAUUCACAUAUUAAACGGCUAGGCAAUGCAAUCUAAUUACAUUAUAAAAAAAUGUGACCAAACAUUAUCGUAAGUUAACCGUCAUGAUCAGAUUUGGCCUAGACGCGCCCCCUCCCCGAGGGUUUCUGAGCCGCCGCUGCCGUCGCAACCUCCCUCACCUCCACCACCGCUGGUCCCCCUCCCUUCCCACCUCCGUCAUCUCGCCAGAGGUCGGAGGGAGUGGGGAUCCAUCUCUCUAAUAGUUUUCUUAGUAGAUCGAGUUCAGUUUAGGGUUUAGGUUUCUCCAUGCUGAAUUUCUCGAUAUUGAAGAUUUGUUACCUCCUUCUCCUUUCCGUCAACGGCGAGGAGGUAGGGUGGAUUUGGUCUCUCCAUAGCGACUCCGAUGAAGAUGAUGGCGGCAACUACGACGUCACCAACUUCCUUGGCAUGACGACAUGGAGAAUUAGGUUUCUGGAUGGCGACAUCAAGGCGGGGAUGAUGUUACCAUUGUGGAAUAAUUUUCUCAGCCCCUUCUCCGUUUUCUUAUGGUUAGACCUAGCCACGAUGAAGGACUUGUGAGAAUAAAUCUGCUCCUCGAGCCGAUUAUAUUUGGUUUUGAGUUGGGAAGAUCAGGUGGUUUUCCUUAUUCUUCGGUGGCAGAAGGAAAAAUAAGGAAGACACAAGAAAAAAAAAGA
Molecule: long non-coding RNA, 52126 nt
Filed under: Setaria viridis
Lineage: Eukaryota; Viridiplantae; Streptophyta; Magnoliopsida; Poales; Poaceae
Description: long non-coding RNA (SVIR_LNC002436)
Source: RNAcentral